RNAcentral lists this long non-coding RNA (71118 nucleotides) under Sorghum bicolor (sorghum). Its description in RNAcentral is "long non-coding RNA (SBIC_LNC011731)". The record is from RNAcentral. Lineage: Eukaryota; Viridiplantae; Streptophyta; Magnoliopsida; Poales; Poaceae.
CCCCGUCUUCAGAGACUACUGCCAUCGAUCUUUUCUCCACUGAUGUGUGUUCACCACAUGCAUCAAUAUUUUGUUUCAACUUGUAUUGUAUGUAAGAUGUUCAUGGAGCUAAGGGCUAUAUAAACCCCCCAAAGACAACCUCUUGGGAGCCACACUCUCCAACACAAUCAAUCAACACAUAAGCAACACCCAAAUGCCCCCUUGAGCACACACACUCUCUCUUCUUCAACCCUCCUCUCCCUCCCCUCUCUCUCUCUCUCUCCCCUGCAUUCUUAGGCUUACAUGGCUCAGCAGCUCGUCGGGCGAAUCACAAUGGAGGUGGCGCCAUCCAAGCUGCCGUCGAUGAAGACCAGGCGUGCCAGGCUCCUGACGAGCCUCGACACGAUCGCGGAGGACGACAAGGAGGCAGCCAUGGAGUCACAGUCACCAAGGGCGCCGCCGCCGCCUCUGCGCAAUGCGAGCUGCGGCGGCGUGGAGGUCAUCGUCGACACCCCUAUGCACUGCGCCGACAAGCUGGCCUUCCUCGCCCCCAUGGCGAAGACCGAGUGCCUCAAGAUCAAAGCCUAAGUUUGGUAGGAGAGAGAGAUGAGGGUGAGGGAAUCAUGGAGCUGGAGAGUCUUGCUCUCUUGUUUUAGUUCUGAGCAUAAGGCAAUCCCUUUUUCGUUUUACGUACGCUAUAGUAGCUGUCACUGUUUUGCAUUGCUAUGUUCAUGGUGGGGCACUAGUAAGAACUAUUACUAAUAACGUGGUUUUUUGCUUCUACCCUUCAAUGUGAAGAUAGAAGAUCAAGAACACUACUGAAUCAAAGUCUGUAUCUUUUUUCAGCCUUGAUUAGUAUGUUUUUUAAUGCCACUGAUAUAUUCAUACAUUAGCUUUUCUUUUUAAUUACUGUGUCACCAGGUGUCCCUGUAUAUAAGCGUGGUUAACUUUGAACAUGGAUGGAUCACAAGAUUCACAACCCAUCCAGAAUAAUCUAAUAUUAUUCAGCUUCAUGUGCUAACUAUGGAAGUUCAAAAGCGUUAGUUGACGGUGAUGGACCAACAUUCCUAGUGCUCCCUCCAUUCUAAACUGUAAUUAAGUUGUUUCGGAUUUAUUCCAAGACUAUGUUUGUAUCUUUGGAAUUAAAUUUAUUCUAAUAAACAUAAUUUAAGUGCAUAUUAAUUAAGUUAAUAUUGUUGUGUAUGAAAUAUAUUUUAUACUAUUACUAUCUAUGCAAGGGAGAUGCUUAUAUGUUGUAUUUCUAUUAUAGGGAAGUGUGUUAAAGAUUGUUAUAAGUUACAGAGUAGAAAAAUAGCAUAGUAAUCUAUAGACACUGUUCGCCUAAACGGCUGUUUAGACUGUUUAAAAGUCAUGUAAACGCUACACAGUGGUACACUAUUUUUAUUUAAUAAUCCGUUUAGUCCGUUUAAUUGACCGUUUAGUCCGUUUAAUGGACUGUUUAGCCUGAAUAAUGGCUAAACGACAGGUGUUUACCGUUUAGCGUUUAGGAAAACAUUGUCUAUAUAAUCGUUUCUCAUCUCCCACCCUAUGAAUUUGAGAUAUACUUAUAUGUGAACUUUGGAAAGUUGUGGAAUCUCAAAUUCCAAACCAAAUAGCCUACUCUAUUGAGUAGAUUCCAAUUUCUCCAAAAUAAAAAGAUCCAAACGGCCCUUAAGUUAAAUGUCUCUAACUUUGUCCAAGUUUAUAUAAACAUACAAACAUCUAUAACAUCAAACAAGAUUCAUUUGAUACAUAUUGCAUUAUUUGAUAUUGUAUAUGUUAAUACUCCCUCCGUUUCAAAAUAACCGUUGUUUUCGCUUCUCGAGAAACAACUUCAACUAAAUAUAUUUUAAUAUUAAUAUUUAUGGUACAUAAUUAAUAUUAUAGAAAAGAUCUUUGAAUCUAGUUUUCUAUAAAUUUAUUUAGAUAUACAAAUAUUACACAUAUUUUUUAUAAAUUGAGUCAAACUUGUGGCACAGAAACCCAAAACGAUAAUUAAUUUGGGACGGAAUGAGUGUUUUUUCUAUAAAUUUACUUAGAAAAACAAAUUACAAUUCAAAUGAAUAGUUAAAAAUUAAACAAAUGCAUUUCAUCUUAUUAGGAGAUUAUAGAUGAUCGUAAUCAUCCUAAGGGCUCACAGUUAUUUUAAAGUAUCACAGUGAAACCCAUUAUGUAAACUUUCUUCUUCUGAAUGAAAUAUUUUUUUUUUAAAAAAAAGCACCACUACGGGUCGUUUGUGGCUUCUCGCGCGUGGGUUUUUGUUGUGCAAUGUCCUUGGUGAGCCGUGGUCUUCAACCUCGGGUCUUUGGCAUUGGCAAAGCAUCUACUAGACUAUAUACUACAUCACCCAAAAACACAAUGCCAGGCUGGACUCAGCGCGUCGGGCCGCCCUAUUCGUUUGGCUCAGAAAGUACUGUUGAUUGAUUUAUUAUGAGAGAAAAAUAUUGUUGAAUGAUUGACAGAUUUGAUUGAUAAACUUAUUUUUUGACAACUCAAUCGUGCACGUAUCAGGAAUAGUGUGCUAGCCUAAAUUUUUAGCAGAAGGGAAGGAGUAGUGUGUUAGCUGCAUUGGGUUAGUUGGAUCGAAUCACCAAAACAUGCUGAGGCCUUGUUUAGUUCUAAAAACUUUUCGGUUUUCGAAACUGUAGCAUUUUCGUUUUUAUUUGACAAACAUUAUCCGAUCAUGAAGUAACUAAGUUUAAAAGAUUCAUCUCUUGAUUUACAGAUAAACUGUGUAAUUAGUUUUUAUUUUUGUAUAUAUUUAAUGUUUCAUGCAUGUACCGUAAAAUUCGAUGUGACGGGGAAUCUUGAAAAGAUUUUGGUUUUUGAAGUGAACUAAACAAGGCCUGAAUUUGUGUCACUUCUCUAUCUAAUAUAAGGCUGAAAAAAGCCCAUGGGCCUCUUCCCAUGCCUAGGAACAACCGUGACGGAUUGGGCCUCUAAGAGUUUAUUUUUUGUGACUAUUGGGCCUCUAGGGUUAAGUUGUCAGUAGUUUGAGCAAUUCCGUCUGAUCACUCUUCUGAGUGUAAUAGGUAGGCAUCAACAUAUUCUGAUGAAAAGUUUUUUUACCUUAAACACAUGACCAUGUAACGCAACGAACCCAUCCAAAGAAAUGUCCUUCGAAAAGAAUCAAUCCAUUGUUUGUUCCUACUCCUGCACGAACUGCCUGAUCUGUCAAUGGGGAUUAGAGUAGGUUCAUCAUGUGAUUCAGUGUAGGCUAUAGGCGUCAUGAUUUCUCCAGUCCUUGCAAGCUUCUGUUCCACCAAUGCAAGCCAUCUGCAAUCUCCAAGUCAGAAGAUGCAGUGUGUUACAGUAGCCAGUAGCGUAAUGGUUGGUUGCAGGCAACAGAAAAGAUACAGCUACGGCUUUAGCUUUUGGUGGAUCUUGGAAGGAGACAUUUGGCAUCAGCCAUCAGCUGGUAGGUGCAUCGGAAUGGAGUUAGCAGCUAACUGGAAUCACUCUCAGUGUCUCUGAUUGAUUCUUACAGUAGUGUGUAAAAUAUGUGCUGCUAGCUAGUAACCAUUGCCAGCAUGAGCUAGUCUCCGUCAGGCCAGCAUCUCUCUCUCUCUCUCUCUCUCUCUCUCUCUCUCUCUCUCUCUCUCUCUCUCUGUGACAAAUGUUGUCUUUUCAAUUCCUCAAACCCUGAAAACAAUUAGAUAUAGGUAAUGACCACGUUCAGCAAAGGAAGAACUAAAGCAUGAGUAGUACGUAGUCUUUUUCUGAUGCUUUUUGGUUCUCCAAGGACAGAUAUACACGAGUCAUGAGGGCAUCAAUUGCUACCCGGCCGGCUCUGAAAUUCUGAAAUGGAACCACUCGCUGUUCUCAACUGCACAGCUCAUGAAUCUUCUUUUAAGGACACGGCUCAUGUGCAUGUUUUUUUCAGCACCCCAGUUAUAUAUAUGCAUAAUAAGGCCUUGUUUUAUUGUUUAGUUCACGUUAAAAACCAAAAACUUUUCAAGAUUCCCCGUCAUAUCGAAUCUUACGGUACAUGUAUGGAGCAUUAAAUAUAGACAAACACAAAAACUAAUUGGACAGUUUGCCUGUAAAUCGCGAGAUGAACCUUUUAAACCUAGUUAGUCCAAAUAAAAACGAAAAUGCUAUAGUACCCAAAACCAAAAAAAUUUCAACUAAACAGGGCACUCACAUUUUCUGAAUCUGAAACGGCACACUGUUACCGCUAGCACCAUGUACCUACAACUCUUGCAAACAGAUUUGGAGUGCCUCAAUGUGUAGUGUAGGUAGGCCUCGAGUGUGGUGUGGAGCACGACUAGGGGCUUUGUGUUGUGUGGAUGGACAGUGAGAGAGGCCAGAAAGCAGGCACAUGUGUUGUUGUGCUUGACGUGUCAUGAUCAUCGCCGGUCCUCUUCUUGGGAGCAAAGCAAUGCAACGCAACAAAGGAUCGGAUGGCAGCGCCGGCCACGUCUUGGAUACAUUCCCCAUCAACUCAUAAUAAUCUCUUUGGGUUGGGUUGGGUGCGCCCGUAACAACCAGUGCCUGCCCAAAUGGGGCAAAUUCAGCGUAGCUGCCAAUCUGCCAUGGAGAAAGUUCAUUGUCAUGAACAAGCCUAGACACACUUGUGGAGUAGUGGUAGAUCUUUCCCAACGGGAUUCUACUUUUACCAUUUUUAUUUACUAUAUAUUCCUUUUCUCUUUUUUUUAAACUUAUUUACUACUAUUUCUUUACCGGCAUGAGUCUAGUAAAGCAUGGUUAUUACCCGAUUUAUUUAUUUAUUUAUGCAAUUUACCCCUUUUGUCAAAAAUACUGACUCUCAGGGUUCAAAGUCUGAAUUAUGUCUCCUAGUGAUGUAAAUAUUUUUUUAAAAAAAAGGUCAAAUUGCAAAAAAAAAGAGGGGGUCAUUACUGGUAACAAAUAGCCGGCAUUUAAUUUAAUUUUCUGAUGAAGCUUUUUCACCUUUGGAACUUUCGAAUCAGAAUUUUAGUCUGCAAAUGGUAGAGUGUGGAAAUGUUCUUUCAACUAACUGGAGUUCCAGAAAGAGUGCUGAUACCAUCGAAGUCUCGUUUGGAGGAAACAUUGCAAAAAUCAAAUCUUUGUGCUGGAUGAUUUGUCGUCGAAGGCGCAGGAAAUACCGUGUCAACGAGGGGUGGUUUGGUAGAGAAUGGAAACCAUCGUGAGCCGCAUUUGCAAAUAAAACAUUGUGGUUGAGAGAACUUGUGAUGCAACUAUAUAAUAUAUGUGUGUGGCGAGGCGCAAAAAAAGGUUUUUGUUGUGCGUUUUUUUUUUGUUGUGGCACGCCUUUUUGACAUUGUGGGAUGCUAGUUUGUUUCCUAGCACAAAAAGGACUUGCACCGGAACAAACUCUCGCCAUGGCUUAUAGCGGUACUUUCAGCUAUGGCUUUUCAACCAAGUAACGCUUUUCAGUCACUCAAGUUUCAGAAGAACUUGCACUGAUACUUUUAGCUAUGGCCUUUUAGCCAAGCGAACAGUCCCAGCGGAGCGGUAAAGACGGGUACUUCCAUUAUGUUAGUUCACAAGCUCUUGGAGUAAUGCUGUUAUAGCAACCGAAAGUGUGCACAUAUUUUUCAACAAAGCUAUCAUAUAUUAUUACUAUAGCAUGCCCUUCCUCUUGCCAUCUCUAGAUGAUUAAUGGAUCUCAAAUUUUUUUAAAAAAAAAGAUGGUUAAUGGAUAGCUCCAUAUGGUUGCGGUGCAUCUUCCGAUGCUUAUGGUUAUGGAUAUGUACGGACACGAAAACGAAAACAUAGUUCAGUUCGUAAAAAAAAUUUAGAUUUGGAUAUUGUAGUAUUUUUGUUUUUAUUUGAUAAAUAUUGUCCAAUUAUAAAGUAACUAGGUUUAGAAGAUUCGUCUCACCAUUUACAGAUAAAUUGUGCAAUUAGUUUUUGUUUUUAUGUAUAUUUAAUGUACUACUAGGUAAAUGCAUGUGCGUUGCAACGGGAAACAUAAUACCACGAUAACAUAUAUAUAUAUAAGCAUGUGUUGUAUUGUUAAUUAAAAGACAUUGCAAUCGUGUUAUUUGGAACAACAAUAUAUAUCACAUAAGUCUUCAAAAAAGAUAAUUAAAAUAUAACUCUAAAUUUCAAGUCCAAGAUGCGGCAUCUAACUCCUUACUGCUAGAGUAUGCAGAUGGUUGAAAUUGUAGUAGGAAGUAUCCUUCAUAUAGAAGUUGUUUAUUAAUUUUUAAAGCUUAAGCGUGUUGAUAUCUUUAAAAAAAUGUAUCGGUGCAUUACUUCUUUUAUGUAGUCAGAACCUCUUUAUAUAUGAUAUUUUUUGUGAAUAUAUCCUUUGUCAAUUUCUUUCUUCCCGUUCCCCUUGGUCAUGUUCUUCUCAUCGGGCGAUAUGGCCAGGAUCUUAAUGUUUGAUCUUGUCGUGGCUCUGGAUAGCGCUACAUAUCAUUGGUCGUGUGAGAACACUGAUUCUGGCAAGUAUACCCCCAACAAUAGGGAUAGUCUGCCCCUGUACCUUUUAAAUUGGAAAGGAAACAUCUCAUUGCCCGACGGGUAUGCGAGGUAGAAACCCCCUUUUGCAGCAUGUUGUCCCACCACGAUUUCUGCAUCUACGAUAUUCUUUUGGAACCCCCGUAUGAUAAGCCUAGUACCAUUACAAAGUCCAUUGGCACGGUCAAUGUUCCUAAGCAAUAUGACCGGGCAGCCAAUCUUUAGCUUUAACACCUGUGGCGAUAGAUCAUUAGGUGUCAAAGUGUUAAGAAAUUCCUCAGGAUAGUAGUUGUGUGGAUCAUCCACCGCAGAGUCAGAGCUAUGAUACACCAUCUCAUCCCCAUAGAAACGACUAAUCAUUUUCAUAUUAAUCAUAUCUACACAGUCAUUCCGCAUUGAUAAUAUUGCUCGAGAGGUGAUAUAAUCUUUGCUUGACAUAUUUGCAUUGAGGUUAGGGAAUAUGCAAUCAAUUAGAGUAUCAAGGUCGCUCUCUUCCCCGGUGUGUCGUAGGCAUAUAUCAUGAGGAAGACAGAUUUCAUCAUCGUCGCCAUUCACCUCCUCAGAACCUCCAUUGAUAGUGUUUGUCAAGUCACCAAAUGGAAUGCGACAUUCAUUGUUUUUCGUAGAAUCCAUGGGGCUUGACGAGGUCAUCUGGUGGCUUCGCAAUCGUGAUUGCAGGGGUACAUGGUAUUAUGGAAGUAUGGCUUGUAAAUUGAAAUGAUGUACAAGUAAAAUGACCAUUCUUAGUAGAUGAGCAACACUAAAAUAUUGCUUCUACUGCUCCAUAGAUGCAAUUGCCAUCUCUUAAAUAAAAAACAAAGGGGAUGGGGAGCAUAUAGCUACUAAUGCAUACCAGUCCUUAUCCGUAUCAGCCCUUUCAGCUUAGCACUUGGAUCCGAUAGUUCAUUCCUAAAUCUGUGUCAACUAAAACGAAAAGGCUAAGAUCAUUCAAGUGUAUAUAUAAUUAUGAAAAUAGACAAAGAUCACCCAGUUUUGAAUAGAAACCAACCUCUAUAAAAACUUAUUUUAAAUAGACAGGCAACGUAAAAAUUUUAUUUCACAAUAGGAAAGUAACGCUUUCUAAACCCACUUGUGUUAAAACCAGAUGCAUACAAAUCAGCUGGAUAGUUCUAACUGUUAGAAAUCAGCUCUUUGCAAACACAAACACAGUACACAGGAAACAACAAAAACAGAGAGGAAUUGGGAGAAGUGAGAGCUCUUUCAUUCACUUUCUUUCUUCUUUCUUAUUUCUUACAUCUGAUGAGGGUUACCUCAUAUUUAUAGAGCAUGGAGUGUGUGUGAACUCAGUGACUUUCUCUCCCUCUCUCCAUUAAUUUGGCCACAUUCAAAGUCUUCCAUUCAUACACUAUUCUUAGUCUUUGUAAAGACUUUGAUUUUCAACACUCCCCCUUGGCCAAAUUUAUGUCAUGUGUAUGCCUCGUUAAAAAACUCCCCCCCCCCAAAAACCCAGUGGGAAAAAAAAGGUAGGAGAAAAGAGUACAUCACACGCAUCGCUUAUGUUGCACCUGUCGCCUCGUUAAAAACCUUGCAUGAGAAAACCCGGUGGGAAAAACUCAUCAAGGAAAAAAGAGUACGACAGUUGAUGUUCGAGUCGGUCUUCAGGACCGACUUGUGAUCUUCAGGACCACAGUCAUGGGUUAUAAUCUUUGGGGUUGGUCUCCCCCUGAACCCUGCAACUCUCUAAGCUGCCUCACACUUGUUCCAUGGACACACUUAUAGAAGCUAGAGGUCGGUAGAGAUUUUGUGAAAAGAUCUGCGAGUUUAUCGCACAACCUUGCUUGCAGGAUAUUUAUCUCCCCGCUCUUCUGGAGCUUGUGGGGAUAAAAGAGUUUUGGAGCAAUAUGCUUCGUGAUAUUGCUCUUGACAUAACCCAGGCACAUCUGUGCAACACAAGCCACAUUAUCUGCAUAGAUAAUGGUGAGGGUGUCGGCGACGUUCAAACCACAUGACUUCUGGAUGUGAUUGAUCAUUUGUCGCAACCAAACACAUUCUCGUGUAGCCUCAUACAGAGCAAUUCUCUCUGAGUGGUUGGUCGAUGUGGCAACCAAAAUCUGUUUCAUAGACCGCUAGGAAAUGGCUGCUCCACCACAGAGAAAGACAAAACCAGUCUGUGAUCUGGCAUUAUGCUGGUCAGACAUAUAGCCAGCAUCCACAUAUCCCACCAUGGUUGGAGCUUGGUUCUUCAGGAACCAUAGACCAAGGUCUUGUGUACCUUGUAGGUACCUCAAGAUGGUUUUGACGCCAACCCAAUGCCUCCUGGUUGGGGCAGCACUGUGCCUUGCCAACAGAUUUACUGCAAACGCAAUGUCAUGUCUAGUGCAGUUUGUGAUGUACAUCAGUGCUCCAAUGACGCUUAAGUAUGGAACUUCGGGUCCCAAUACUUCCUCAUCAUCGCCCUUGGGUCUAAAUGGGUCCUUAUUCGCUUCCAGGGAUCGGACCACCAUGGGGGUCUUAAGAGGGUGGCACUUGCUCAUAUUGAAUUUUCAAGUACCCUCUUAGUAUAAGUGGACUGGUGUACAAACACUCCUUCAGAGAGGUGUUCGAGCUGCAGGCCCAAACAAAACUUGGUCUUGCCCAAGUCUUUCAUCUCAAACCCCAUCUUGAGGUAAGCCAUCGCUUCCUCAAUGUCCCUUGUAGCCCCGAUGAUGUUCAAAUCAUCGACAUAAAAAUCCAUCAUUGGAUUUCUUUAUGAAAACACGGGGACAAUCAUCAUUAUUGAUGUAACCUCUCUGCAGGAGAAAGUUACUUAAUUGGUUGAACCACAUCCUUCCGGAUUGUCUCAACCUAUACAACGACCGCUGCAGGCGGACGCUAAACAUGUUGCGAUUUUGAUUCGGUCCAGGGAUCUUGAGUCCUUCAGGGAUUCUUAUGUGGAUUCCCGAAUCAAGUGACCCAUACCAGUAUGCGGUCACAAUAUCCAUCAACUGCAUUUUUAAGUUCAAGUUAGCUGCCAUAGAUAUAAGAUAUCGGAACGUUAUGCCACUCAUAAUGGGAGAGUAAGUCUCAUCAUAAUCGAUCUCGGGUCUCUGCGUGAACCCUAUGCCACCAGCCUCGCUUUGUGCCAUGUUUAUUCCUCUUCAGGAGGGAGACCCAUUUGCAUCCUUCAGGGAUGACCUUGGAGGUGUUGGGACUGCAGGCCCAAAAGCCUCUCUUUCAUAAAGCGAGUGCAACUCUGCCUCAAUUGCAGCUUUUCAUUUGUCCCAAUCUGAGUGCUUCUGGCACUCUGCCAUGGACUUUGGUUUGGAUCCAGAUCCAUUGAGCCAACAAUUUUUGAGGCAAAAUAUGUGUCGACAAUGGUGGUGUUUCUAUAAUGUGACUCUCCUGAUUCCACAUAAUUAGUGGCGAUUUCCUCAUGAUCGCCCCCCCACUCAUCAUGAUUUCCCAUAACAAUUGAGUUGGGGCGUUCCGAUCUUUCAAUGCGAUGGUGCGCUUGACGCAUUGGGAUUUCCAUCUUCAGGAUGGUGUCCUUCAGGGACCUCCUCAACUUCAGGUUGAGUUGCCACUUCAGGGGCAUUCUCGACUUCGGGUCGAGCUUCUUCAACUGAUUCUUUAAAUGAUACCAAGUGGCUCAAGACCUUGUCUACAUGGACGUCUCCACGGAACCUUGUCUGAGCACCUAGAGGUCUCCCCCUCAACCUAGGAUCAGGAUGGAGACAAUAGAGUUGGUAACCUUCAGGGAUACCCGAACUCUCUCUGGCACAUUUACUACAGGUAAAUGUGGCCUUGUCAUUUUUCUAAUCAGUGAAGGCAUUUGGCAGCUCAUUUGCAGUAAUUUGUAAAUGCAUACUUUUCUGAACUUCUGGUCCAGAUUUACUAGUGUGUGUAGAAGGAAUGCCUUUAUUCCUUUUCAUGCAAUUUCCUGGCAUUCUUCUGGAUGCCUAUCUCCCCCUAAUGCUGGGAAAUACAAUCAGCGUACCGAGCCUCAUGAAGAUCCCUAGUCAUAGGCUCAUACAUCCCAACUUCUGGUGGGGUUUCUUUGGUGUACGCUGAUACGGCGAUACUGGCACAUAUAUCGCAUAACUUAUACGCAGAUGGGAAAUACUUUCUUUCUCACACACUAGCCAUAUGGGGGAUGUGCAGUUGACCUGAGUUGAAUAAAUUUUGCAGUAUGUAAUGCUGCAUGGCCCCAAUUGCUGGUUGGCAGCCUUUGAUUUUGCAGUAAUGGCCAUACAUUAUCCACUUGAUCCUUUUGAUCAAGGACUCAACUAGGCCUCUUUGUGACUCAUCCCUAAUCUUCAGGAGGGAUGGCCUAGUGAUUAUCCUUCCCUUUGCACGUGCGGUGCAAAUAAAAUCUUCAGGAUUAGGGAAGUUUUUAUGACCAAUAGAAUUAUUGAUGAUUUUCUCAUCAUAUCCAACUCAGGAUGACCCAAUUGGUCAUGCCAUAUUUCUCUAAAAUAAUAUGGCUUUUACCGCAACAUAUUUCUUAGUGGGAUUGUGUAUAUGUAGUACAAGCCCAAUGAAGGAAAUACAUCCACCACAUACUUUAAAUGCUUAUGGGAGAACUAGUGCGGCACUUCUGGUGCCCUUGAUAUGAACAUUGCUUCUGGCAAUGGUCAUAAUAUUUCCAUUUCCUAGUCAAUGUUUGAAAAUAUCUAGUUUCUCUUAACAUUAUAUUGGUGGUGUCACUGUCUGCAGGACAGGUUUCCGCUUCAAUCAUAUGGGCUCCCACCAGGUAUGAGAAUUUGGAGAUUUGGCAUAUGUUCAAAGGCCAAAAACCAACAUUCAUAACUUAUUAAAAAUGCUCUGCAGGAGCAUGCAUGGCCAUCACUCAACAUGCUAUAAAUGCUCUUCAGGAGCAUGAAUGGCCAAACUCAAUUGGUGUAUGUGGACAUUUCAUUGCGACUAACAUGAUAUCUCAGGGAUUAGCAGGUCCCUAGAUAUAUCACAGAAAUUAGGAGAAGGUUUUCCCCACUCACAUCCACUUGGAUGUUUUCACCAUCUCUUUUCACGGUGACAAAUGUGUCUUCCGUAUUUCUGAGCUUCAUGCUCAGUGGUGAGGUGGGAUUUAUGUUGACUCUCCUUGUUCUUGCUUCUGGAAGAACUUUGUUAGAGAUGAACUAGGUGUUUUAGGGGCACAACAAUUGUGGAACCCAUGUUCCAUGCCUCCACAUCUAGAACAGCGAUCCCGCUGCUAAGAUGUUUCACCUGUGACCUUCUCAAAUCCGCUUUUACCCCCUUGGGAUGACACCUCUUUUCCCUUCCAUUUUCCCUUUUCACGGCCCUCUUUGUGGUUGCUAGAAUUCCCAGCAACGCUAGCAUAUGCUUCGGGCACAGUUGCCGUGUAGAAUGAUCGUUCUUGAGAACCUCAUUCUAUUGCUUUUGCAAUCAAUAUCAGCCUAUAGUACUUCGAGUACUUAUAUAUUGCUGAUAUAGUACUAUAUUGUCGGGAUGGAAGGUAUAAAAGAGUUUCCCUGAUCAUGUCUGCGUUAGUGAACUUCUGGCCACAUAGACGCGGUCUAGACACAAUCUUGUAUAAAGCAGAGUCGUACGCUGUUACAUACGUACAAUAUCGAAAAUGUAAGACGAUCCAGUCAUAUUGACUUCUGUUGGUUUAAAGCGGUCCUUCAGGGACUGCUGUGAAACCAUUGGAUCGUCUUCAUUUAUAUAUUCAGACUUCAGGUCUGAGUGUAAAUGAUAUUACAAAGAGUGCAAUGCCUCUGCUUUAUCAAGUAUUGUGCGCUCAUCAUUGCCAGCUUCAGGCUGAACAAUGGUGUAAUCAAGGCACCAGCCGUCGAGUUUUCAUCUCAACGUCAAUCCUCAAGUGAGGUAGCUGCUGUCAUUCACAGCUAGCUUAGCGAAUUCUAUCUUCGCAAUGUCCGACCAAUGACUAGUGAAUGUCGGUUACACGUAAUCUUCAGGAUUACGACCAUGUGUAAUCUUCAGGAUCACACAUUCUUAUAUAGUCUUCAGGACUAUAUUUCUCCAAAUAUCUCAUGCAUAUAAUCUUCAGGAUCAUAUGCGGUUCUCAUAAGUACUUGCAUAAAUAUGCAGAAAAUAAAUUAUUGCAAGGCAGUAAAUUGCAAUAAAUAGAUAUGAUUUGUAGUGAUAAUAAAAAACUUGCAAAUAAAAAUAAACAGUCAUGCCAUGUAAGGACUUCAGGCCUUAAUGAUUUUACGGGCUUCUGGCCACGUAGUGGUAUGACAUGGUGAACUGCAGGUUCACUACUUAUUGUUUGCGGGCUUCGGAUCAUAUGUAUGUGGCCUUUUGGCCUCUGUAUAUGGACCAAAAGUUCGUGGACACAAGGCUUUAGGCCUUUGUCUAGCGGCUUCAGGCCGUCUAGAUAAGUGGUUCAGUGCACAUAGAUCAAAAUAAAAAUGCCUUUGAUUGUAAUCUUUAGGAUUACAAUUAGGUGUAAUCUUCGGGACUACACCUUUUAUUUCCCGCAUGUAAUCUUCUGGAUUACCUUUAAUGGAGUAAAUACGUAAAAUUUAGAUACAGUAAGUAAUAACAAUAAUAACAAAAGAAAUAUGGUGGACUCCAGGCCACACAUGUUUCACGAACUUCGGGCCGUGUAUUUUGUAUUAUAGUGGACUUCAGGUCACCUUUUUUUUACGCAAAUAAUAUGCACUGUCCAUCCUAAAUGGGUUAACAAACCAAAAUCAUCUUUCAUGGGCCGACCAGAUCGGCCCAACCAAUUGUGGUCGUUCAUCACGAUGGACGGCCCAGAUUCACUCUGGCCUCAUAUAAAUAGGGAGGAUAAAACCCUAACCCUAUCCAUUUCCCCCCUCUUCUUUCUCUCUCUUCCUUAUCUUCUUCAGGAAGGCAGGAAGAGGUGCAGAUGGGAGGUGGCCAUGGCACGGCGGCCGGCCCGGCGCACGGCGGUGCCCUCGGCCUGGCGCGCGGCCCGCCCGCGGCUGGUCUGGCUCGCGACGGCGCCUGCGUCCUGGCUCGUGGCCCGCCCGCGGCAGGCCAUGGCGCACGGCACGCGGCACGACGGCGGCGGCCCUCGCGGCCUGCCGGCGGUCAGCCAUGUCGCGCGGACGGUGGCCAACUGGGACGCGACCCUCUCCCAGCGGCUUAGCAGGGGCACGCGGCCCCACAUCGGGCGGCCAGGGGUGCCCGACCCCGGCAGCGUCCGCGGCCAUGGCGCGGCCUGCCUGCGGCCGGCUUCGGCGGGCGGUGCGGCCUCGGCGGACAUAGGAGGGGGCAUGACCCCCGCGCGGCUGCAGCAGGGGCGCGGCUCCCGGUGGCGGCGCGGCCCGGCGGCGCGGCGAGUCGGCCAGGGCGCGCGGCCUCCGCGGCUCGUGGCCCAGCGCGCAGCAACUGCGGCCUGGCUCGCUCGUGGUCCGUACGGGGCAGCGCGACGCCCGCAGCCUGUGUGUCGGGUCUGCUAGGUUCGGACGCAGUCUUCGGGGCGGCGUGGUUCAGCUUGCUCAUCUUCAGGAUGAGGGCGAUUUGGUAUUCGUACGGCACUUCGAGGCCAACGUUCGAAAGGAUGGGUUUGGCACUUCUGGGCCAUCGUGAGAUUGCUUCGGGCAAUCUUCUGAGUAAUGGCUUCAGGCCAUGCUCAAAGAUCACCAUGGUGCUCGCAAGCAUAUCCACUGGUGAUGAGUUCGUGAUGUGUUCCUUCAUCACGUUUGCGUGGAACUGAUUUCUUACCUUUUUACCUUUUAGCUCAGUAGAACUCGUGCUGAUAACGUGUUAGAAAUCAGCUCUUUGCAAACACAAACACAGGACACAGGAAACAACAAGAACAGAGAGCAAUUGGGAGAAGUGAGAGCUCUUUCAUUCACUUUCUUUCUUCUUUCUUAUUUCUUACAUCUGAUGAGGGUUACCUCAUAUUUAUAGAGCAUGGAGUGUGUGUGAACUCAUUGACUUUCUCUUCCUCUCUCCAUUAAUUUGGCCACACUCAAAGUCUUCCAUUCAUACACUAUUCUUAGUCUUUGUAAAGACUUUGAUUUUCAACACUAACUACUGAAAAAAGUAGUGCACCAAUGCAUUGCAUAACCCAGUUAUGGACGUGCAGUAUUUAUAUAUUAGGUAACAAUUUGUUCACUUAACUGUGAAAAAGCUCUCUGUACUCUUUUGGUCUGACAUGCUGAUAUACUUUGAAAUCGCAAAGCAAUAUACAUGGAAUCGUAAAUAAGGACAGUGGGUCUAUCUGUUCCACGUCGCUCACGCCCACCUGCACCGGAUGCAGGGCAGGCCACCGCGCCGUUCGUCGCGGGCCUAUGCCCGUCCAUGGACCUGAUGCUGCUGGUGUCCAUGGAAGCGAUGGAUGGCGUUCUUGGCCUAGGAUGUAUGACGUGACCAGGGGAUGGAGGAUGAGGGAGAAAGAAAGAAUGACAUGUACCUUGGAUUCUCCAUACGCGGCGCAAAUCGGAUCCGCUGGAGGCAUCAGCUUGUACAGCGCGGCGUACGAUGUCCGACAGCCGGUGGCGGAGUCUUCUGUGGCGUCGAGGCAACAGGGGCGUUGCGUCUGGAGCGGUGCAUCCGUCUGGCGGCGGCGGCGGCAGGGGAGGGUCCGGGGCGGCGCUUCCGUUUGGCGAGGGAUGCGAGGCAGGAGCACGUGAGGGUGAGGAGUGGGUGAGGGGUUGUGAUUUCUAGAGCCUUGUUUAGGUCUAUUCAAAAAUCCAAAAUUUUUCAAGUUUCUCCGUCAUAUCGAAUCUUUAGACACAUGUGUGAAAUAUUAAAUAUAGACAAAAAUAAAAACUAACUGCACAGUUUGGUCGAAAUUUAUGAGAUGAAUCUUUUGAGCCUAGUUAGUCUAUGGUUGGACAAUAAUUACCACAAACAAACGAAAAUGCUGCAGUGUCACAAAUUUUUUUCGUUCGGAAACUAAAUACGGCCUAGAUAGAUUUUGAACACUACGGGCGGUAAAAUUUUUCGGGCUGAGUUUCACUGCCGCGGACUAUUCAGUUGUGGAGAUACCGCGGUCAGGCACACGUGGGCUGAAGAAGCGGCGCGACGCUAUCCGGGCAGCACGAUGGUGAAGCCAGUGCACGUUAAUGAUUCCUAUUUCUGUAAGAUUCGAUGUGAUGGAGAAUCUUGAAAAAUUUUGAAAACUAAACAAGGCCAUAGUUUGUUACCUCAAAUUCUGGUUUCAAUAUAAAUGGUGUUGGAUGCGUCCAAUGCCCAUAUCAAAAAUCCAACAGACCAUUUGGAUUGGGAUACAAUAAAAAUAAUAUUGAAUUCUCGGACAUGAAAUGUUCAUUCAGUGUAUGAACUCUUUUAAAUGAAUGGAUGGUCAGAAAAGUUUCGGAUGGAAGAGUUUUUUAGAAACUAAUCCUACUACUAAAAAGGCCGAAAGCAAAUCGUCGCCUGUCGCUCGCUCGCCCCGGCUGCCUCCUCGGUACAACCUGUGUUGCCUGCUGUCGCUGCUGCUCUAGCCGCUGGAGGCCUGCUGCUCUGCCUAGCGCCUAGCAUGGUGGUACUUAGGUCUACUGCCUAAGGCCUAGCAACAUAAUGGUUGAUAGAAAAAAUCAGACGUCUCAUACAUGUUGUAAAUCUAUACUCCCAUGUAUUAUGUAGGUGCCGGUUCUUAUGCACUCGAACUCAUGGACACACACCUAUUAAGGCCUUGUUUAGUUUCUAAGACAAAAAUUAUUAUCCAAUCAUAAACUAAUUAAACUCAAAAGAUUUAUCUCGUAAAUUACAGAUAAAGUAUAUAAUUAGUUUUUUUAUUUUAUUUAUAUUCAAUGUUUCAUAUACCGUAAGAUUCGAUAUGACAGAAAAUUUUAAAAUAAAUCUCGCAAAUUAUAGACAAAGUAUAUAAUUAGUUUUUUAUUUUAUUUAUAUACAAUGUUUCAUAUGCCGCAAGAUUCGAUAUGACGGGAAAUCUUAAAAUAAAUUAGAUUUGAGAGUGAAUUAAAUAAGGCCCUAGAUCUAUUUUUUUAUUUUGACACUAUAGCACUUUUGUAUUUAAUAAUAUUGUUCAACUAUGGACUAACUAGGCUCAAAAGAUUCAUCUCGCAAAUUAUAGGUAACUGUGCACUUAGUUAUUUUUUAUCUAUAUUCAACGCUCCAUGCAUGUGUGUGAAGGGGAAUCUUGAAAAAAAUUUGGAUUUUGGGAUGAACUAAAUAAGGCCUUAGGCGUGGUUUCUGUAGCACUUCGUUCAAAAAGUUUUGGACUAAUUAGGCUCCAAAAAUUUGUUUCACAAAUUACAGACAAACUAGACAAGCUAUAUAAUUAGUUAUUCUUUUAUCUAUACAAAUAUUGUCUAAUCAUGGACUAAUUAGGCUAAAAAGAUUCGUCUUAUAAAUUACAGACAAACUAUACAAAAUUAUUAUUUUAAUCUAUAUUUAAUGCUCUACAUGUGUAACUUGUUCUUAAAGACUUACUCUCUCCAUACUCAUAAAAUAAGUCAUUUUGGACAAGGUUUGGGUUAAAUAUUGAGAAUAUAAAUUAUAACUUUUAAGUCAUUGAGUUUGAAAAUAUGAAAACCUAUGAAUAGAUUUGUCUUGAAAAAUAUUUUUAUACCACUUUUUGAUAAAAUUUUUUUUAUAAAAUUAACAAGUUAAAGUUAGACUUUGAAGACCGUGCCAUUGUCUAAAACGACUUAUUUUAUAGGUAUGAAGGAAGUAUGUAAUAUUAUAUUUAUAUUUAAUUAUCACGGUUCCAAUAUAGGUUCUUACAUUAUAGAUAAUCGAAGUUGAUGUUUUAGUUUCGCAUUCAAAGUUAGAGUUAACUAUCUAUCUUUUUGAAUUCCCUGGAGGGGGUUAUUUUGGUAUUUUAUGUUCCCGUUGCAACGCACGGUAUUUACCUAGUAAAAAAUAAAUUACAUAACUCGUCAGAAAACUACAAGACAAAUCUAUUAAGCAUAAUUAAGUUGUCAUUAACACAUGUGGUUUACUGUAGCACUUAAGACAAAUCAUGGACUAACUAGGUUUAAAAGAUUCGUCUCGCAAUUUUCAACCAAACUGUGUAAUUAGUUUUUUUUAUUUAUAUUUAAUGUUCUAUGUAUGUGUCUAAAUAUUCGAUGAGAUAGAUAAAAAAAUUUUGAAUGGGGAACUAAACAGGACCUAAAUAAAUUUCGGAUGAAAGUGGAAGGGGGAAGUGAAGGGAGGAGGAGACAUGACGCAACGCGCGCGCACACAGACGGCCCCGGGCGGGGCAGCCACCGACGCGUGGCGUGGGUCCCGCGCUGCUGUCGUGUCGCUGCCAAGUGCCGAUCCCGCAACUCCCUCGCGGAACCUGUGAUGAGAUCCCCCACAUCACAUGCACAUGCAUGCGUUGCUGCUGCCCUCCCCCUCGCCUCUUUUUUCCCUUCUUCCUUCCUUCCCUGCGGCGCGCGGAGCAGCAGAUCCCCACACCUGACACCACCACAAGACCACACGAAAUAGGGUCUCGUUCCUUGAAGAAAAAAAUUUCACGACACAGUAGUAUUUUUGUUUGUUUCUAGUAAUUAUUGUUUAACUAUAGACUAAUUAGACUCAAAAGAUUUGUCUCGCCAAUUUCGACCAAACUGUGCAAUUAGUUUUUAUUUUCGUCUAUAUUUAAUACUCCAUGCAUGCGUAUAAAGAUUUGAUGUGACGGAGAAUCUUAAAAAUUAUUUUAAGUUUUUGGAUAGAAGUAAACAAGACCAGACAUUGUUUAGUUCUAUUUUUUAAAAAAAAAUGGACACAAUAACAUUUUCGUUUGUAUUUGAUAAAUAUUGUCCAAUUAUGAAUUAAUUAGACUAAAAAGAUUUAUGUCGUAAUUUACAGAUAAACUAUACAAUUAGUUUUUAUUUUUUUGCUAUAUUUAAUGUUCUAUGCAUGUGCCAUAAGAUUUGAUGUGAAAACAAAUCUUAAAAAAUUUUUGGUUUUUGAGAUGAACUUAAACAAGGGUAGAAAAGGAAAAAAAAAAGCAAAGGAGAAAAAAGAGGAAAAGCCAAAAGGGAGGCGGGCGGGGGCGGGUGGGCGCGCCAAGGGAGAAAAUAUGGCGGGAGCGGGAGGAGAGAGGCGCGCCGAUUUUUUUUAUAACCACUCCCGCGCGCGCGCCCCAAGGAUCGUCUGCGUCCACGUCCACGUCCGCGCGCGCUUUCACACGCUUGGCACUUCCCCCGCGCUUGCUUCCCUCCCCGCCGCGGGGGCGGGGUCGCUUCUGGGCUGCCGUCUCCCAGCUGGCCUUGUUCUGGGCCCCACUCCUCCUCCUCUCCCAGGCGAGAGGCGACUGCUCCCCGAUCGCGUCGUGGUCGUGCGGCGUCAGCAUGGCCGCAGGCAGCCGCGCCUGCUGCCUUUGGUGGAGGCCUCCCUACGCUUGUGUCAAGUGGAAUGCGUGCGACUUGAGGCCUUGUUGACUUCCCUUUUAAUAAAGCCUUGUUUAGAUUCAAUUUUUUUAAAAUUUUCAUACUAUAGUAUUUUUAUUUUUAUUUUACAAACAUUGUCUAAUCAUGAAGUAACUAGGUUUAAAAGAUUCGUCUCGCGAUUACAGACAAACUGUGCAAUUAUUUUUUGUUUUUAUUUAUAUUUAAUGCUUCAUAUAUUUGCCGCAAGAUUCGACGUGGUGGAGAAUCUUGAAAAGUUUUUUUUGUGUGUUUAGGGUGAACUAAACAAGGCCUAAAUCUCGAAAUCCGAUUAUAACUUUUCCUUAUGAUAUGAUCCUCUAGAUUAUUAUAUAAAUAACAUAUCCAGUUAAAACUUGUAACGUGAAUAUCCGAAUUUCUAUUCGUUUUUAUUAUGGAUACUAAUAAGUGGAUAUAUUUGGAUUCAUUUUUUUCCCGGUGUUUUUCUUUAUCCGCUUAGAUCCUUAUUCGGCAAGUCAAAACCCAUAUCCCGCAAAGGAAACAAGGUGAACCUACUUAAAAUUAUUCUCUUCAUAAUGAGUGACCAACUUUUUUUGUUUUAUUAUUACUAAUAAUGCAUUCGACCCAUUUCCUUGUAUAUCUAUAUAUAACUUUUACUUAUUAAUGAUACAUAAAGUUUAUAUUUUUUUAUUUGGUUUAAUCCUAAUAUAUUUGUUCUUUUAAAUUAUUUAUUAAUGCUUUAUUUAUUUUUUAUUUAUGUAAAUUAUUUUAUAUAAAUUUAUAAUUUCAUGAUAAAUAUAAUAUUGAUUGAUUAAUGGAUAUAUUUAAUUAUUAAACAUUUAUUGAUACUUAUGUUACUUUUAUGUGCUAUCCUUGUCUAUGCUGUAUACACAUAUGCUUUGUCUAUUUAUGCAGGGUGGUAAUAGUGUAAGGCGAUGGCACAUAGGGCAAGGUCAGGGAGAAUGGCUGAUGCUGCUUGUUGGAGGUGGAAGAAGGAUGGAUCCUUGAAUCUUCAUGCGUUGGCUCACGUGCCUAGUAUAUAUAAACCCUAAUAUAUUUUUAUGCAUUCCGCGCCAAAAAAAAUCAGAACAAAAUUGUAAGAUCCUUUUUGCAAUAGCUUCCUAGCGUGCUAGUUUUGUAAUGAUUCUAAUAAUAGAGAAGAAUACUGCAUUAUCUCUCUAUCUCUCCCUCUUUAGCAAGUGUUUUUCCUCUGACAUCUCCAUGUGUUAACGAUUUAAGCACAUCACUCUCAAAUAUUUACUUUUCUUGUAUUUACUAAGAUAUGGCGAUCGACCAUAUUCCCAAGAAAUGUUUUGUAGAGAUUUUAUUUCGUAGUACAAUUGUCAAAGGUAUUAAUGUAUUUCUCUCAAGAAAAAAGUUCCUAGGUUUUGCACUUGACACAUAAUCACGAAAUAUGUGAGUAUUAGUAUUGUUUUAAAUGAUUACAAGUUGUGUAAGGUAAGGCUAAAAUGAGAGAAAGGAGACGAAGACAUAGGGAAGCAGUGGGAAUGAUAGAUAAAAAAAAGAAUGUAUCCAUACAUGUGAGCUAGUUAAUCAAGCUUGCAUAAAGUACGGUAGCAAAACAACCCAAAAAACUAUUCUAGGUCAUUUGAAAGGUAUUAGGUAUUUUUAAGAGUUAUAAUGGGUUAUAUUUAUCGGAUUAUGGAGUAAACUCUCAAUAUGCUAGGGAGUCAUUUAGAUUUUUUUCUAUUAGGGAGAAUUGGCUGUAGGACAUGCAGAAUGGUGGCCAUUUGCCAGCGGACACUAGGAAAAAAUAGAUUGCUCAAAGACACUCAGUUUCUUAUCAAAUUUGCUGGCGGACACUACGUCUAAUCAAAUAUUAUUAUAAAAUAGAUAUAAAAUCAUAUAAGUGCUAAAAAAUUAUAGUAUAAAUUUUUUUACACUCUACAUGAUGAGAACUAUAGUGCAAAAAUAUUGUUUUGCACUGAAAUGACCAUUUUGCCCCUCUUCAUAAAUAGACAAAGAUAACCAUGGUUAAUUAGUUAAAAAUAUUAGUAAGAUACUAAAAAUACUAAAUAAUAUUUUUACACUAUAGUUCUCAUCAUGUAGAGUGUAAAAAAAAUUAUACUAUAAUUUCCUAGCACUUAUAUGAUUUUAUAUCUAUUUUGUAAUAAUGUUUGAUUAAAUGUAGUGUCCGCCAGCAAAUUUGACAAGAAACGAAGUGUCUUUGAGCAAUCUAAUUUUUUCUAGUGUCCGCUGGCAAAUGGCCACCACUCUGCAUGUCCCACAGCCAAUUCUCCCUUUCUAUUAUUAUGGACAUACAUUCAUAUAAUAUGACACGUCACCAAAAUACAUAAGGUUAUUUGCAUAUUUUAAUAUUUUAUUAAAUGACAAAAAAAAGUUCUAUGGCAUCUGUCCAGAUGGAUGAUCACCAAUAAUUAAGAGGUUAAUUAUACUUUUCUGACUGCACUCUCAAGUGCGUACUGGACUACUGGUUAACAUUUCAGGGUUGUAUCAAGAUAAGGGCGCUCUCAAUGCUAAAAAGCACAAGUAGUUUCUAUGUAUACUUAAUUCAUAUAGAUACUUCAUAAAAAUUAUGUUUCCAAUCCAUAAAUUCUACGUAAUAAUUUUUGUCCAAUCACACGUCUUCUCACUCACUCAUCUACCUAUCAUCGUGUAGAUAUGAUUUCUUAUUAAUUCUUCCUUUUUUUUCUUUAAUUGCAGUGUCAUAUCACAUUUUUUUUGCUUAGUUGACAGCUAAUUAAUACGCUCUUCGUUCAUAAAAGAAUUAAUCCCUAGAAUAUAUGCUUAUCAAACUUUUUUAAGUUUGACUAAUUAUAUAGAAAAAAGUAACAACAUCUAUGACAUAAAACAGUAUUGAAAAUAUAUUAUAUGAUAAAUAUAAUGAUACUAAUUUAAUACAAAAAAAAUUAAUAUUUUUUCUAGAAAUUUAGUCAAACUUAAAAAGUUUGAUUUAGAAUAAAUCUAGAAAUUAAUUCUUUCGUCGGAUGGAGGAAGUAAAUAAAAAAAUAUAGUGUUCCUAGGUGGAAAGUGGCCUGUGUACACCAAAGUGAAUAAAUGAUCGCAGAAGCCGGAUUGCUCGUGAGACGCACACAAUUCGUGCGGUCCAAACUCACGCGCGAAACUCAAUCCCCAAAAAUGCUACGCGCACCCAGCGUACUCACCCGUCCCGCAUCCCCACUCCCACUGCUUCCGGGCCCCACAUCUCCCAAACACACACGUCAUCGUCGGCUCCGUCCCCAAGUCCCACCCACCACACAAACCGCCCUGCGUCCUCGUAGCAUUUCUCACACCCUCGACCAGGGGCCAGUCGUCAGAUGCCCUCCACGUGGCACGCUCCGGCAUCCCCGCCCUCCACGCCCCGCUGCCCGCGGUCACGCGGACUCCCAGCGCUGGCCGUCCGAUCCUGCCCUUCGCCGCCAGUGGACGGCCCAGAUCCUGCCCGGCCCCGCGCGGGCAGCCCCCGCGCUGCUAUUAAAGGCACCCCCCAUUCCGCUCCUCACCUCACCUCCUCCUCGUCCCGCAACGCAAACCAGCAUCGCCGAACGGGUCGCGCCCGCCCGAGCCCGAUAAGCCCGCGAAGCCCAGGCCCACCCGCGAAGCGAUGCGACGGAGGAGAUCGUGAGAUCGCGCGCCGCCGCCGCCCCGCUGCCGCCGGCGAUGACCUCCGCCGUCCUCGCCGGCCGGAAUGAGGUCCACCACGCGCACCCGCACCACCACCGCCACUGGGGCGGCGCCCGCGUCCCCCUCAUGCCCAAGCCGUCCUCCAACCCUAACCCUAGGCGCCACCACCGCCCGGGCCCAAACCCUAUCCCCACAGGCUCGCCGCCGCCGCGGGCCGUCCCGGCGGUCGCGGCCGAGCCCCUGCCGUCGUCAUCGGGGCACGUGAAGUUCAGGCCGUCGGAAAUGACCCCCGCCGAGGCCAGCCUUCUCCGCGCGCGGCUCACCGGCGAGCUCGGCCGCGUCCGCGCUUUCCUCUCCCGCAUCGACUCGUGGCAGGACGGGCAGCGCCGGCGCCGGCGCCCGGAGCCCGAGCACGAGCACGCGCCGGAGCCCCCCGUCGGGCGCCGCUCGUCCCCGCCGCCGGCGCUGGUGGAGGCGAUGCGGAAGCGGUGCGCGGACAUCCUGAUGCGGCUGCGGAGAUCGAAGAAGAGCGUGUGGUUCAACUCCCCCGUCGACGUGGAGGGCCUCAAGCUGCACGACUACCGCGCCAUCAUACGGAGCCCCAUGGAUCUCGGCACCGUCAAGCAGAACCUCACCGCCGGCCGGUACCCUUCCCACGAGGCGUUCGCUGGCGACGUCCGGCUCACCUUCAACAACGCGCUGCGGUACAACCCGCCCGACCACCACGUGCACAGGUACGCCGGCAACCUCCUCGCCUCGUUCGAGGGGAUGUACAAGGAGGCCGUCUCGUGGUUCGAGCAGCAGCGCCAGCAACUCGAGCCACCAAUGCAGCUUGAUCUGCCGCCACCGCCACCACCACAGAUGCCAGUUUCUGUGCCAGUGCAAGCGCCCCAGAGGAUGGGGGGUGGGAGGAGGCCCAAGCCCAAGGCGAGGGAGCCAAACAAGAGGGAGAUGGAUGAGGAGGAGAAGCAGAAGCUGAGGGUGGAGAUUGAGAACCUGCCUGAGGAGAAGAUGCUGAAUGUGCUGCAGAUUGUGCAGAAGAGGAACAGUGAUCCAGCAUUGACGGGGGAGGAGGUGGAGCUUGAUUUUGAUGAGCUGGAUAUCGAGACCCUGUGGGAGCUUGAUCGAUUUGUGGUCAAUUGGAGGAAGGCGCUAAAGAAGAGCCAGCGGAAUUCUAUGAUGAAUGGUGAUGCUGCUGCCAUGAAUGGAGACGCCAUUGAUGUGACAAUUGUUCCGGAUGAUGAUGACAUGGUCGAGGUUGCUGUCAAUCCGUCUGUGGUGGUUGAAAUUGGAGAGUCGGUAUGUCAUUCUGAAGCAACCUUAGCUGUCUCUAUUUUGUAGUUUUCAUGAACCAGUUAUGUUUGGACUUUGUUCUAAUGUUGAUCCUGUUUUUUGUCUCCUAUUUCAGGAGACUGACAUUCCAAAGAAGAGGGAAAUGGAAGCGGAGGACGAGUAUGUUGAUAUAGGUGACGAGAUGCCAACGGUGAAUUACCAGUCGGUGGAGAUUGAGCCAGAUUCCCCGGCAGCUAGCAGCUCAAGCGGAUCAGGAAGUGGCUCAUCUUCAUCCAGUGGUACGGUGGAGCAAAUGAGUAUUUGUCACCACAAAUGCUGAGUCAUCGAUUGAGUAUCUCUUUAAUUCAUUAUUUGAAAUUCGUUGCAGAUUCUGACUCGGACUCUGAAUCUGAUGGGGAUGAUGCAAGCGCCCCGCACUAGGUGGUUGCUCUUUUAUCUGACUGUAGGAUUAGUGAUGAGUAGGUGACUGAGGUUCCAUUGGGUGAGGCAUUUUGAAGAAUGGUAUAGCAAAUUGGAGGGGCUCUUGUUGAUGCAAGUCGUUGUCAGGUGUGUUCGUUUGUGUAUGUGGGUGCAGCUUAGGUUGUCGGUACUUGGUAGUGAAUAGGUAGAUGCUUGGGUAGAUUGGGAGACUACUGUAAAGAAGGGAAUAUAAUCUGGAAUGGAACUAAGAGGAAAAGUAGCAAUGCCUUGGCAUUUCAUUAUGUCUGUUGCUUUCUUUGUACAUGUUUAUUACUGCAGUAGCCGAUCUAUUGUGCACAUCUGUCUUCUUAAUGUUCAUCUGACAUCACAAACUACAUCAAAAAAGAGUUUGCUGGAAUGUCUUAAUUUGGUGCCAAAACACUGAAACAGCCAAACAGACUAUGGUACAUUGAUCCUGGUGCGAAUUGCUGUCAUGCUAAUGUUUUUUGCCUAUUGCAGAAAUAUGUAUAUGUUUGACUGACUAUUAUCUUCUAAAUGUUGCUAAAUAUUGUAAUCCUGAUUGUCAUCAUUAGCAUACCGCUGGAAGUGUUUCCUUUACAUAUUUGCUCAAGUCAUAACUUUAAUCUGCAACUGUCUUUGCUGCGACAUCUCAGCAUGAUCUCACCUUUCUAAUCUGAAUAUCCAGGUUGAGACUGGUAUUCUGGCAUGUGUUAGAACAUCUUCUGUAUUCAAGGAACUGUUUGGAUGCUGCCCUCGCCUGGUACUGCCUGCUAGGCAAGCGAGGCGCUCGAAAUCGAACGAUUUCGAACGCCUGGGAGUGAUGCCUGGCGCAGGCAACUUUCACACGCUGCAAUCUAAACAGCCCCCUCCCAGAUUGCCUUGGCAUUUCAUGAUGUCUGUUACUGCAAUUGCCUUUCGCACAUACUACCUCAAAAACCAAAAAGUUUUCAAGAUUUUCCGUCACAUCGAAUCUUGUGGCACAUGCAUGAAGCAUUGAAUUUAGACGAAAUAAAAAACUAAUUGCACAGUUUACCUGUAAAUCACAAGACGAAUUUUUUUGAUACUAGUUAGUCCAUAAUUGGAUAAUAUUUACCACAAACAAACGAAAGUGCUACAGUAGCGAAAUCCAAAAAGAUUUCGCAUCUAAACAAGGCCUUAGUAUGUUUUAUUAAUAUUUCCUUUUGACAUUACAAGGAAGAGUUUGCUGGAGUGCCUUCAUUUGAUGCCAAAACACUAGAACAGACCAUGGUACAUUGAUCCUGGUGCAGUUGAUUGCAGAAAUAUGCAUGUUGGAAACUCUGGCAUGUAUUGUAAUGUCAAAAAACUACAUCAGGAAGAGUUUGCUGGAAGUGUUUCCUGUCAAUUCUCACUUCUUGAAAAGACAAAUAUUUUUAACUUUAACAAAAAUCCACAAAUAAAUGCACAUCUCGUUUCCAAUUACCAAUUCCGGGCGGUGUGCUUAGAGCAACUCCAGUCCACCUCCUAAACAAGUCUUUAUUUUAAAUAUAAGGACUUGAUCUAAAAAAAUUAACUCCAACCCACCUCCUACUUGGGCUCUCAUUUUUCAUGCCCUCAUAUCUGGAACCCCUAUCCAGUGGGUCCUACCCACUUUUCUCUCCUCACCCAUAAAUCAAGACAAGAAUUACAAAUGGUGGAGUUGAUGUAGAAUUUUUCAAUGACAGAUGAGUCUCAUAUGAGAUAAGGACUUGGUAUGUUUUUUUUAUUUGAGUUGGAUCUUAAUUUGAGCCCCUACUUUUUUUAUUAGCCUGUAAAUAAAAGUUUAAGGCUUAAUUUAAAGACUUGGGCUAAAGUUGCUCUUAGAGGAUAAAGCCCGAUGCUUUUUCUUUCUUUUCUAUGAUAUGCAAGUGCUAACUAAAUAAAUCAAUGCAAAAGAAAUUCAUUUAGCAUGACCCCCUAACUUCAGUCAGUCUGGUAAGAAUGGUAAGAAAGGGUUCUAAGCGGCGCAAAAAAUAGGUAGAAAUAACAUAUGUAAUAUGUAUUAUUAGAUUGAGUAUGAAAUAUAUUUUUAUAAUAUAAUUAUUUGUAGAUAUAAAUAUUAAUAUUAUUUGAUAUAUUUUCUCGGGAAAUGAGAUGUGCAUUUAUUUUUAGAGGGAGGAAAUACUAAUAUUUGUGGCACAAAAUAAAACACCAUUAAAUUCAUUAUAUAAAAUAUUAUAGAAAUAUUAAUACUAUUUUUUAUAAACUCAAUCAAACUUGCUAUUUUUUAUACAUAAUUGUAUUCUUUUACAAAACGAAUAGUACUAUAUUGCCUGCAGACAGAGUACGCUUUGGUAGCUGAGAUUUUUGUUAGAUCUGACAGCCGCUUUGGUAUCUCUGCUCGUUUUACGUAGCCAAUUUGUUUUUAAUCGCUAGAGUUCGAGCUGUCAUUUCCCUUCCAUUUUCUGUCCUGUAUGCAUGGAACCAGUGUCGUUUCGGAAGCUUUGCCCAUGGCCACAGUUGCUACCUGCUAGUCUGUUCGGCAAAUUCUAGGGGACACAAGCCGACGGUUGCUACUCUAUUCGGCAAGUGCCAGGGAGCAGCCGCUUCUAACAAACGAAAGAGGAAAACCAAAGUAUGGCAACACGAAAUGGGAAACGUAAGGGUAAAUCGAGAAAUCACUGCGUUAACGCAACGGUCACAAUAUUGUAAUACUUGAUAACAGAUACCAAAACACCAGUACCGGUACCACAACACAAAACAAAAUAACUCAAAAUUUCACAGGAACAGCAGUUCAUUCUCUCUUUCUGCAUCCCUCUCAUUCGUCUUCAGCCAUCACCCUCUCAUUCGUCUUCAGCCAUCACCAAAAGUGUCCUCGCAGAAUCCCGCCGGAUUCAUCUUCAAUCAUCACCAAACGUGGUCUUCUUUCCUGUGCAAAUAAGAGGACAUACAGCAGUGAGCUCAAAGAAGAGUUAGAAAACUUGCGCCAGUCAUGGCCAAUAGGUAUCGCAGUGCUGCGGAAUGUUGCUCAAACCAAAAUGCAGUGAACUUUAGAAGUACAGGAUGAAUUCCACCUGCACUAGGAGUGCCAGCAUUCUGCCUUCCAAAGCCACGGCCGCCGCCACCACGUCCACGGCCACCACCAUCCCUACCACCACGUCGUCCACCAAAUCUACCGCCACCAUCCCUGCCCCCAGAUCUGUCACCAAAUCUGCCACCGCCACCACGCCGGCCACCAGAACCGAAUCUGCCACCAGAACGGUCACCAAAUCUGCCACCACCACGCUGGCCAUCGCCUUUUGGCUUGGCUUCAUCAACAUAAAGCUCAUAGCCACCACCAAUGUCAGUGCCACUGAGCUCAAUGGCUUUGGACACUGAAUCCUGAUCCUUGAAGUCCAUGUAAGCCAUUCUGCAGAGUUAAGAAAGAUUAGCAAUUAUAAACCUAAACUUCACAGAUUGAUAGUUACUGGGAUGUUGCUGUUUUUUGUAGCAAAACCCACCCUUUGAUUGCACCAGACUCAUAAUCAGUCGGGAUAGAGACCCUUGUUAUGUCACCACAUUUUUUAAAAUGUUCUUGGAGAGCGCUUCGGAUCUGGAUUCAUUGUCAAACAUUGGCAUGAAAUUUCUUGAGAUAAAAAUAUAGCUAAACAAAAGAAAUUACCUCAUCCUCCGAAAGUUCUUUAUCAAAACCACGGACAAAUAUCGAGUUGCUAGUUCCCCGAGCUGGCUUCUGGAAAGAUCCAUCAUUGCUGUUACAGUUCACCCAUCCGAUACACAGUUAAUAACAAUGGUUCAGGCAUCACAAAGUGCACCGUAAUGCUCUUAAGAAACAUUAAGAUCAUCUUACCCGCUGCGAGGAGUUUGUGUAUUUCUUCCCCCCUUGGCAAAAUCAAGUCUUACUUCACGACCCUGCAACUCUGUUGAUUGCUUCUCUUUAAAUGCCUGCUAGAAAACAAUCCAUUAGAUAUCUUGUUCAAUUGCAUAUUUGCAACUAUAUCACUCAGAAGACAGAAUUUUAAGCAGAAAACGAAAUCCCAAAAUACAAUACAUAUAUAGUAAAAAUAACAUUACCUUUUCAGCAGCCUCAGCUGAAACAAAUUCAACAUAGCAAAAUCCUUUACGAUGGCCGUCCUCAUGUGUAGGAAAACGAACAUCAACAACCUCACCAGCAUCCGCAAAAAAUUCUUUCCUGCAAACAUUAGUAUUGGAACAACGGCUGCAAAAAAUAGUUCAAUAUAUAAUGUGUCCCCUGAAGCCAAACUUACACAUCUUCAAAUUCAGCUCUCCAGGGGACGUUUGCCAUAAAAAGUGUCUUGACCUCCUCCGUUGCUUCGUUUUGGGAGCCCAUAGGUGUUUUAGGCUGCCAUAGUAUCAAAAUAUAAAUGUUGCAUCUAUGUAACUUCAUUCAUUAAAAGAACAAAAGCCCAAAGUCACAGAUUCAUACUUCUUUGGUAGCAGUUUGCUUUUCAGAGGCACGCACAGGAGCUUCCUGUGUUGUUAAAAUUCAAACAAGAAUGUCAUAAAUGCAAAUUCAAACAGAUAUAGUGAAACGUGUCCAUUCAAAUUAUGAGUCUCACUUCAAUUUGUGCAGUAACAAGUGAGAAAAUACCUUCUUUGGAGUAUUAGCAGGCUCGUCACUGUCUUCAUCACUAUCAUCUUCAGAAGAUUCAUCCUCAGAUCCACUGCUUGCUGAUGCUUUAGGUGCCUGAUAAAGCAUCUAGUUAAUAAUGGUUCACAUUAAUAACAUGCUGCCUACAUCCAAGAAUUUGUUAAGUACCUUCUUUUGUUCAGCUUUUGUAGGCUCAUCAUCAGAACUUUCCUCAGUACUUCCAUCCUCAUCCUCACUGCUGCUUCCAUCCUUUGUAGCUGAAGGUGCUUCCUAUUAACAGAAAAAAAACAAUGUCAACAAUGGAACAACAGUAAAAGAAUAAUGAAAAUAUUAUGCAAAAAAACAAGUUGAGUAUUUGCAGCACCUUCUGCUUCUUUUGGGGAGGUUCACCAUCCUCAGUGUCAUCACUUGAUUCAUCUUUAAUUUUUGCAGCAGCUCUCUUGGCAGGCUGAGUUUUACUUGCAUCCUAAUGAGUUUAGAAAUAAGGUGAACAAACUGGCAUAAUGCAUAACAUGCAAAUGUUCAACAAAAAAUGUUUCACAUACCUCAACCUCAGAAUCACUCUCUGACUCACUUCCACUGGAAUCUUUUUUGGUAGCCGCUGCAGGAGCCUUAGACUUAGAAGGCACAUCCUGAAAAUAAUCAUGUUACAACUCAAAAAAUGCUUAACCAUGGAAAUUAUUGCACAAACUAUGGUGAAGGACAAUAACAGGAUAUACAAUGGUUACCCGAAAUACAUGUGAAUAAACAAACACAAUGCACACACCUCAUCUGAGUCAUCAUCAGAGUCGCUCUCAGAAGUAUCCUCCUUUUUCUUUUGUGCAUCAAUCACAGAUGGUUUCUUUAGAGGGGCAGCAGGUUUCUGAAAAAAUGCACACAGAGAAGCGAUACCAUCAGCUGGCUAAGCUAAAUAAGCAUCUCAGGGCACACAGCAUAAUGAGUCAGGAAUCAUAAGAUGACAAAUCAGUAAAUACAUAUCUACAUGUUAUGGCAUUGCAUCAGAAAACUUAAUGAAAAUGCUAUUAUUAAUCUUACAGUAAAAUGGUAUUAAAGGCAAACAAGCAUGGAUGUUCCACUCACAUCAUCAUCAUCUGACUCAUCAGAAGUGUCCUCAUCGCUGCUGCUUUCUUGCUUGCCUUUCUUCAAACCAUUUUUGGCAACAGCACCCAUGGGUUUAGCAGCAGCCUUCUUUGCAGGUUCCUGAAUCAAAAGAACAUGAGUUGGUAGCUCAACAUCUGAAAAGUACAUUCAAAUAAUCAAUGUGUUUGCUGGCAAUUUGUCCUAGAUUAGUGACAACUAAACACUAAUCUGUGCUGUCAUGGUGGUAAAAUGGAAUUAACUGUGCACAAGACCAUAAGACAAACAGGAAACUUCAACUCACAACGUCAUCUGACUCAUCAUCAGAACUGUCCUCAUCACUGCUGCUCUCUUUCUUGGCUGUCUUCGAACCAUUUUUCACAACAGCAGGCUUCUUUGCGGGUUCCUUAAUGAAAAGAUGAAUUAGCAUCUAAAAAUCCUCUGAAAAACUACAUUCAAUGAUUCAGUUUCCUGGAUGCUGAUUCAUUAAAAACCACCCAAUCGACGCCAUACCUCAUCAGAUUCAGAGGUCGCGUCACUGCUGUCAUCAUCACUGGACUCUUGUUUAGCGAUCUUAGCAGCAGGCGCCUUCUUUGGUACCUUAACCUGUAGAGACAUAAGUUAACUAUGUUACAGAAGAAGAAACUUCGAUUGAUAAAAAAUUGUCACCUUUACAAGCCAUACUCAGACUGAGAUUCUGCAUGCAGCUAUUUCUGUCUACCCUCCCCACCUCAAUCAAAUCAUUAAAAAUUCUAAAAAUAAAAAAUCCCGUACCCGCCACAUACGUACAAGAAAAACAAGAACAAUCACCACCGCAUACCUCCUCUUCAGACUCGGAGUCCUCUUCGGAGCCACUGCUGCUGCUCUCAACCUUCUUGGGGGGCGGCUGCUUCUUGGCCUUCUUGGCGUCCUUCUUGGACGGCACCACGGCCUUCGGCGGUGGCGCCGCCUUCUGCUUCUUCGCGCUCACCGCCUUCUCGAUCUCGUCCUCCGCCUCCCGCUUCUUCCCCUUGGGCACCGCCGCGGGCGCCGCGGCAACGGCCGCCGCCUUCUUGCUUGACUUGCCCAUCGGAGGAGAGGGAGAGGAGGCGGGGUGGGAGCGGAGAAACCCUAGUGGCUGCUAGGGUUUUAGGGGAGGAGGGGAUUCGAGGAGGAGGCGACGGAGGUUGUUUAUAGGCCGCAGUGGUCGGGUUCCAUGGGCCUUGCUGGGCUUGUAUAUGAGCCUUUUUUUGCCUGUGCGGGUCACGGUCUUGGUGGCAAGAGUAGAGCCCAAACAAAAUGUUAGUUUUAAACAAAGGAAGCGGCUAAUGCACGGCCGUGCAUGCGUUAAGCAGGCCGCACGCACACUCCGUAAUAGGAAAAAACCAUCGACCCUCACUUGGAAAAAACCUUCAACGCGGGCACAAAAUCACGUCAAUCAUGACCCCGCCUAGACAAGGCCCGCCAGAAGGCUAGGCUCACGCCCACUUUCCUGUUUUGCUUUUCCCUCACCUGGAAGCUUCUUCCCCUCUUCCCUGUUUUGCUUUUCCCUUUCAACCCUCAAAACAAAAGAUGCCCAUGGCGGCGCCGCCACCAUCUAGGCAGCUGGCAGAUUCAUUCAAAACAAAGGCAAACUAAUACAUCCAAAACAAGCAGGUACGUGCGAUUGUGCAAUAACUUGGUACUAUCAACUUCUUCUGCCACUACUUUCAACAAAAUAGUCUCAAAAUAGAACUAGCCAGAUCUGUUACUAGAAGGUUUCUUCUGCCAGAUUUGUUCUCUUGAAUCACCUAACUAGCCAGAUCUGUUACUCUGUAAGAAAUAGCAGAUCUUAUCCUAACUUUUGAGCAAUUCACUACUUUUGCAUAAAAGCAAAAAUCAGUUGUUUUGCAUAAGCAAUCCAGAUCUCUUGUAUCACAUAGUACUAUAGUUUCUACUACAUUAGCAGAUCUGAUACUACACCACUGUACGUCUUGGGUACCCAUUAGAUGACAUGUGUAUAUGUUGUAUGCACCACACAUGCAGAUGUACAUCUUUCUGCAUUAAAAAGCUUCUUGUGUUAGCUGCUGCACAUGGUUACUCCUAUACAUUAAACUUUCUUGUGUUAGUUGCUGCACAUAGCCUCACCCCUGCAAAAUUAAACAAAAGUACAACUGAUAAAAUCAACUAAGUAGAUGACAAGCAAGCCUCAAAUUACAAAACUUUCUCUAAAAGGAAGAGAACACAAUGACACUAGAUUUGUAAAAAAGUUGAAAAAACUGAAUAUGAAAUAAAUUAUAAACCUAAAAGCAUGUACUGAAUAAAAGCUAGCAUGUAUUCAAAUACAAAACAAAAAAAAGCAUGUACUUAAACCAAAAAAAACUGCAUAAGUUGCUGGCCUAUUUUGUCUAGUUUUGUACAAUAUUAUUGCCUAACAGGUUUGACUAAGUUGCCUACUGUCAUGAUAUAGUAACAGACACCUAUAGUUAAUGUUUUGCAUGCAGAUCUCAAAAAGAUAUGGAUCUUAACAAGCUGCCACCAGAUUUAGAUGAAGAUUUCUUGGGUGCAUUUGAUUUUGAUUAUAUAACCAGCAACCCUACCUUCUGCACUCAAGUGUCCACAAAUCCUGAAAUUCCUCAGCCUAACAAUGAGCAUAUGAACCAGCAGAUUUUGCCUGGUAUUUCUGAAGAUGGUCAUGCUGGUUUAGCAGAGACAGAACCUGCAGUUUCAGAAGAGGUUAUUCCUACCAUUUCUGAGAUCAGAUUGUCAUUUGAACAGGCAAGAAUAGAGGACAAGAAUGAAGAUUCUACUACUAAUCCUGUAGUUGCUGAAGUAGCAGAAGAGGAGGAAGAGGUGUGGUCUACACUUGAAAUGCCACACAAUGGGAUGUCUUUUGCAACCUUGGAUGAAGCAAGGGAGUACUACAACUCGUAUGCAAAGAGAACUGGCUUCUCAAUUAGAACAAACACGUCACGUCGGUCUGCAAUCACGAGAGAAAAACAAAAGGUGCAGUUUGUGUGCAACAAGGAAGGCUUUGGCAGGAAAAGGAGAGUUGUUGCUCAGCUUGUUGAUGGAAUCACUUGCUACUCUGACAAUGAUGAAGCCAAAGAAGAGGAUACUGCACAAGAAGAAGAGGAUGAGCAAGUAGAAAAGAGGAAGAAGUUUGACGGAUGUAAGAAAAGAAAGAGGGAGAAAAUGCUAUAUACAAACUGUAAGGCAAGGUUGGUAGUCAAAAUCAUUGGCUCUAGAUGGCAAGUAAUCUAUUUUUUGGCCGAGCAUAACCAUGAUCUUUGGUUCAGCCCUCACUCAAGAAGUUCCUAAGGUCCCAUAGAGGCAUACCGAAGCAGGAAAAAGACUUCAUUGUUUUGCUACAUGGAUGCAACUUGAGCACCGGUAGAAUCAUGCAGCUGAUGAGCGAGUUCUAUGGCUCAGCACAGCUGGUUCCAUAUGACGGCAAACAAGUUUCAAACUUCCGCUCCACCAUCCACAAAACAGAAAAAUUCAAAGAUAUGCAAGAAACUGUGGAUUACUUCAGAGCAUUGAAAGAAGAAGACCCUGAAUUCUUCUACAAGAUCAAGCUUGAUGACAACCAUAGGGUUGAGAACCUGUUUUGGGUUGAUUCAGCUACAAGGCGUGCUUACAAAGAGGCAUACAACGAUUGUGUCUCAUUUGAUGCAACCUAUAUGACCAACAUAUAUGAGAUGCCUUGUACACCAUUCAUAGGAAUCAACAGACACUGUCAAACUUUUCAACUAGGAUGUGCCUUUAUAAGGAAUGAGAAGACAACUACCUAUGAAUGGUUGUUUCUAACAUUUCUAGAGGCAAUGGAUAGAAAAGCACCCCUUAACAUAACCACCGAUCAAGAUCCUGCGAUGAGAGCUGCCAUUUGCAUUGUGUUUCCAAACACAACCCACAGGAAUUGCAGGUGGCAUAUCAUGGACAAGUUUUCAGGCACAAUUGGACCAAUCCUUGCUAAAAAUGAUGAGUUGAAUGAGGAGUUUGUGGAUUGCUUAAACCACACUGUAAGCCCAGAAGAUUUUGAGUCAAAGUGGGCUACUAUGGUCUAGAAAUACGGUUUGGAGGACAAUGAGCAUUUUCAACACCUAUACCACAUAAGGCAGAGCUUCAUACCAGCCUACUACAUGCACAGUUUCUUCCCAUUCCUCCAGUCGACUCAAAGGAGCGAGGGGUUCAAUGCUUUGUUGAAGAAGUAUGUGAACCCAAACUUGUCAGUGCUACAGUUUGUGAGGCAGUACCAGAAAAUACAAGAAAAGUGUCUGGUUGCACAGGAUGGGCAAGACUUUAGGACCGAUGAGAAUGAGCGAAGACGAUGGUCAAGGCAUCCACUUGAGAAGCAUGCUUCCACUGUAUACACAAAGAAUAUGUUUUACAGGUUCUCCAAAGAGUUUGAGAAAACUGCAGAAUAUGAUGUGAAGCCUAUAGGGCAAUUCCAAUAUUGGUUGGAGCCCAAUAAUAGCUUUGUUUUUGGGUAUGGAAAAAGGAACUAUCUUGUUACAGCAAUAGAAGAGGAUGAAAGCUAUUGCUGCGAGUGCAGCAAGUUUGAUAGGGAUGGAAUCAUUUGCUGCCACAUUAUGAGAGUUAUGGUUAGAAUGGGUGUGAAAUUAAUACCAGAAAGGUACAUCCUUAAAAGGUGGACGCAACAAGCAAUUGCUAGUGAUACUAAUCAGGUCCAAAAUGUGAAUGCACCAGUGGGGCUUGUAGCUCGUGGGAUGCCAUUGACUAGUGAAAAAACUUUGAGAUUGACCAAUGCAACCACCGCGUUUGCAGCAAUAGCAGUGGAAGGUUGUACAAAUGAUGAAAACUAUGCUAUUUUGGAGAAGCACAUCAAGGAGAUGCGAUCUGAAUUUGAAGAAAUUAAGAAAAGGAUGAUGGCAAAUAGGCAAAACACUAGUGGUACAAAAGGUGCACAAAAUGGUACAGGUGUCUCUACUCUAACUGGACUUUCAUUGCAAACUGCAGGUUUAAAAAACUAGACACUAUAUUCUGCUUUACUUCAUCUUUGUACGCUUGUACUAGAUUGAUUAGUUGCUUAUUGCAUUUCACAUUGUAGGUGCAAUGGCUGGUCCAAAUACAUCAAGUGUAGCGAACCCCCCAAAAUCAAAAGCUAAAGGGCGCAGGAAGGAGAAGGCACACAAAAAAGGGAUGAAUGGUCAAGCGAAGAGGAAGAAUAAGUGCAGCAUUUGCAAAUCAUAUGAUCACAAUGCAUAGAGAUGCCCGGGCAAACUAAAAAAAAACAGUUUCUUAGUGGGAAUGCAUACCUAGCAAAUAUUCAUUUUACAUCUCCAUGCAAUAUUGUUUUCUGGAUGUUGGAGCCAUUUGUAUGUGAGCAUCUUUCGAAUAGUUGGCAUAUCUUUUUCCUUAAACUCUGGCAUGUUAAGACCAUUCCAGUGUUCACAGUGCAUUAGCAUGUGGAACCCGCAAUCAUGACUGCAAAAAAAAGUCAUAAUCAUAUGGAGGAUGACAGAAACUUUAGAUAUGAAAAUAAUAUGUAUGUUGAACUGUUGACCUACUUGUUUGACUGCAAUGGAACAUUAAUAUCAAUCAGUUGGUACUUGUCAAUAUUCUUCCUUGAAUUAGGGUAAUGUUUGCGCCAAAGUUCCUUAAUUGCAGUGAUCAAAUUGUUGCAGCAUGUCUUCAAGUUAAUGUCAGCGAGAGACCUCAUAGAAUCGAGAACUUCAAACCUUUCUUCCCUUAGGUUCAACACUAGAAGGAAGAAGUGGCCCACUGUUCUAUCAAGCCUUUUGAAACGAAUAUUUUGCAAUACAGGAAACAUGACCUACAAAAAAAAUGCUAGCAAAAAAAUGAGAAUAGCUACUAAAACCAAAAAAAGCUUCAUAGCAUCUAUAUUGCCAGAAAAAACAUAAUCCUUGAGUGAUAUAACAGCUAGCAGGCUUCUAAAAAAAUAAAAAUAAAAAAGAUGGUCGUGAAUCAAAUUGAGAUAUGGACAAUUUAACAUAGGCACUACCUGUUGUUCUCUGCCCCUACACAUGUCAUAUUUUGUUAUUUUCUAUAAAUUGCUCCACAAAUUUUAGAACACGAAAACAAAAAGUUAUGAUGGUAGGACACCCAAGAUUGCAUAUUUUUUUUUAAAAAAAAGUAUAGCCUAAAAUGAAACAAUAUUAUAGCCUAAUGAACAUAGUUAAAUUGCCUAUUUUGAAAAAAAAAGAAGAGGAUUAAGUGGACGAUCAAUUAUCAAUUGAGAACGGUCUAGGUGAUGGAGGCUUCUUUGGAAAGCACUAUUAAUCUCCCCAUUAUCCAGAAUCCCAUCUUGUAGAAAAGACUCUAAAAAAAAGAAUUAAAAAAUAAUGUUAGAGAAAAAAGUGCUUGUUUGAAAAAAAUAAGCAUACAAACUUAGAAACAUCAGUACAAGUAAAAAAGAAAAAGGGGGGAUUCUCACAGCUAUUCUUAGUGGGAGUAUUUGUUUUACAGGGAUCUUGGCCUUUCUGUCUUUUAAUGCAUAUAUAGCAAUUUCAGCUACUGUGUUGAAUAAUUUUCCACCUGGUUUAACUGAUUCAGAAAGGUGCUUCAAGCUCACAUAGUAAUCUGGAUAACUGAUUAUGAUAUCGCUGCGUACAACAUGGAUGGAUCAUAGUUAAAAAAACAAAAUACAAAAUGAAUUCGAGAGUUUAACAGACGGAAAAACUAGCAAAAAAGAAAAAGUUGCACAUACUCUCCUUGGCUUGAGCUUUGACUCGAACUCCUGGUUGACCUUGGUUGACCUUGUAGUGGCCGAGCAUACCACAUCAUAUGCAUGACUUGCAACCUUGCUGCACUUCAAGUCAUUUCUGCCAUAAUCAAUAUAUGGGGACUGCAAAGCACGCCCUGGUCGUGCUGGCCUUCUGGGCGGAGGUUGAUACGCAGGGGUGUGUGUGAAGUGCUGGGAGCAGAUUGUAGACCAUAGGUUGUAGCUGAUGUUGUCUUUUCAACUCUUGUUGGCUUCCUUUCUAAAUGUUCAAUUGGGUUAUCUGUAGGUACAGGAGUUUGCUUAACUGCACUGCUAGAAAGUGACUUAUCUGUCCUGUUCCUUUCUAUAUCUUCAAUUUGGGCAUCAAGUUCUUUAAAUUGUUCUUCACUUAAAUUGUCCCAAAAAUAAUCAUCAUCAUAUUUCCUUGCGUUCCUUUCUGAAUUACAUUCACUUGGCUUUGAUGGUGGACGUUCACGGGGUGUGGGAAAAUCAAUGAAUCUCAUAAUGUCCAUUGGUGGGGGAUCAAAAUCCCAUUUAGAGUGCUUUCCUGAUUUUUCAUUCUUUUCCAGAACACUAGCAGAAGGAGGGAGCCUUUAGCCAUGAAAAAGAAAAAAAAAAUAGUGUUAGUACUGUUGUGUUACUAGAAAAAAACUUGAUUUAAAAACAAGGACAAAAAAAAUGCUAUCUAUUCAUAGUUGCAAUACUAUCUCUCCAUAGUCGAGCAAUUUUAUUCAAAUGACAUAACAAAGGAGUGAUACUAGUGUAGGUGACCAUUUGACACAUAAACACAACUGACCCCAUAAAGUAUAAAAAUAGACACAAAAAAAUAUAAUUGCUACCAAAUUACAAAUAACUUGCCUCGCUAAUAAAUAUUAAGUUGCUUAACACAAGAAAAAAUAUAUCCCAUUUACCUCAGCCUUUCCCUUCUUGAUUGAGAAGAACAACUUCUAGUGAUAUUGGUUCUGAUUCCCUUGAAUCACCAGCCGGUGCAUCAACUUUAGUGUGCUUUCCUGAUUUUUCAUUCUUUUCCACAACACUAGCAGAAGGAGGGAGCCUUUAGCCAUGAAAAAAACAAAAAAGUGCUUAGUACUGUUAUGUUACUAGAAAAAAACUUGAUAAGUUAUGAUGCUUAUAACCAGGGAAUUAGUCAUCUAUUCCCUGGUUAAUGAACCAGGUAGAAGAGGCACAGCCCAAGCUAAUACUGAAAGCCCUAGUUUGGUUUUGAAUAAUUGAUGAAACCCUAGUACUAACCUCUAUGAUAAGUAUGUGUAGACUUAAUGAGGUUGGUACAUGCCAAGUGAUUGAGCAAGUGAUGAUCAUGGUGAUGAUGGUGAUGACCACAAGAUGAUUAAGUGCUCAACUUGGAAAAGAAGAAAGAGAAAAACAAAACCCUAUGGAGAUCAAGGCAAAGGUAUUGCUUAGGGUUUUGGUUUUGGUGAUCAAGACACCAUAGAGGGUGUGAUCACAUUUAGGAUAGAUAGUCGUACUAUAAAGAGGGGAAUUAUUUGGCUAAGCGGUUAUCAAGUCCCACUAGGUGUCAUUGUUCAUGUGCAUGCAUUUAGAACCUAGUAAGCUAACUUAACUCCUUCGAAGAAAAUGUUUGUGAAAAUGCUAACACACGUGCACAAGUUGGUUUACACUUUGUGGUGUUGGCACACUUUGAGAAGGAGGUGGAGUUUGAAGGGCCGAGCUUGCGAGGCGGGAUUCGGCGCUUUUCGAGAAAAUGAAGUGCAUAUUUUUUCUAUUGCGCCGGUGGGAAAUUUGGAGAAGUCGCGGGAGUGUUUCUCGCUGAGGAACACUCACCAGACGCUGGCUCAGAGGCACCGGACGCUGUGUCUGAGCGUCCGGUGUGCAGGCUGCCUGGCUCAGCUAGGGUUGGGCACCGGACGCCAGGCACCGGACGCAAGCUGAAGCGUCCGGUGGUCUGAGUCCGGUGUCCGCACUUUUUGCAAACCUCUCUGGGUGUGAGUCCGGUGAGCACCGGACGCUAAGGGUGCGUCCGGUGGCUUGCGUCCGGUGACCCUGCAAGUUUGCAGAGCUCUCUGCGCAUGGGUCCGGUGUGCACCGGACGCGUCCGGUGCUCACUUGCUCAAGCGUCCGGUGCUCUGCAGGUUACCGUUAGACUCUGACACGCGGCUGGCGUUGGAGCACCGGACGCAGGUGUUGAGCGUCCGGUGCCCCUUUAAGAGCGUCCGGUGACCCCGUAUUUCGCCCAGUGAAAGAGCCAACGGCUCUAUUUGUUUGAGGGGCUAUAAAUACGUGUUUGGUCGGCUUGGGGCAUAUACUCUUGGCAUUCUAGCAUACAUAACAUCCUUGUGAGCCUAAGCAAACUCCUCCCACUCUUCUCCUUCAUAGAUUAUAUAUCUUUGUGAGAUUGGGAGUGAUUCCAAGUGCAUUUGCUUGAGUGAUUGCAUCUAGUGGCACUUGGAGAUCGUUCUAGCUGCGGUUUUCUUGUUACUCUUGGUGGUUGCCGCCACCUAGACGGCUUGGAGCAGCGGAGGAGCUUUGGCACGAGUUGGUGAUUGUUCGUGGCCAUCUCCCGGUGAUUGUGAGGGGUCUUGUACCUUCCCCGGUGGAGAGCCGAAAGGUAACUCUAGUGGAUUGCUCGUGUCAUUGAGCUACCUCACUUGUGGGUAGGUUCUUGUGGUGUCCUAGUGAGGACGAGGUUCGUGCUACACCUCUUAGCCACCGAACCACCAAGUGUUGGUCGACACAACGGGGACGUAGCGUGCCGGCAAGCACGUGAACCUCGGGAGAAAAAUUGUUUGUCUCCAUUGUACUUGUUCAUUGGAUUUCUCCCCGUGAUUGGACUUCAUAUUAUUGAUUGGUUCAUCCCCUCUACGCGGCGGUAUAAAGAUCAAACCAUCUCUCUUACUUUCCCGCAAACUAGAGUAGCUUACUUCUUGUAUAGAAACUUUAGAUAGCUCUCUAGUGUAAGUAGUGACAUAGCUCUUGUGUGCCUAGAAAUUAUGUCAACUAGAAUUGUUGGAUAGGUGGCUUGCAAACACCCCUUUAGAGCUAGAGCAAAAAGCUUCGCUUCGUUAUUUAACUAACCUCUUGCUCUAGUGAGUUUGUAGAAUUUUUUAAAUAGGCUAUUCACCCCCCUCUAGCCAUAUUAGGACCUUUCAAAUACCAAGAUGACAAAAUCAGAAAAUUUGAGAUGGAAGGGCCAGUCAUAAAGUAGGAAAAAGAAAUAUUGGACUUUGUGCAGGCAAAAGAUCAAGACCAGCAUGGAUGAGUAUGAGACUUAUGUUGGCAUAACAAAGGAGCGAUACUAGUGUAGGUGACCAUUUAACACAUAAACGCAACUGACCCAUAAAGUAUAAAAAUAGACACAAAAAAUAUAAUUGCUACCAAAUUACAAAUAACUUGCCUCGCUAAUAAAUAUUAAGUUGCUUAACACAAGAAAAAAUAUAUCCCAUUUACCUCAGCCUUUCCCUUCUUGAUUGAGAAGGAACAACUUCUAGUGGUAUUGGUUCUGAUUCCCUUGAAUCACCAGCCGGUGCAUCAACUUUAGUGUGCUUUCCUGAUUUUUCAUUCUUUUCCACAACACUAGCGGAAGGAGGGAGCCUUUAGCCAUGAAAAAAAACAAAAAAGUGCUUAGUACUGUUAUGUUACUAGGAAAAAACUUGAUAAGUUAUGAUGCUUAUAACCAGGGAAUUAGUCAUCUAUUCCCUGGUUAAUGAACCAGGUUGAAGAGGCACAACCCAAGCUAAUACCAAGAUGACAAAAUCAGAAAAUUUGAGAUGGAAGGGCCAGUCAUAAAGUAGGAAAAAGAAAUACUGGACUUUGUGCAGGCAAAAGAUCAAGACCAGCAUGGAUGAGUAUGAGACUUAUGUUGGCUGAGGCAAGCUAUGAUGCUUAUAACUUGUGGUAGUAGUCUUAGAAUGCAAAAAAUCAUACAGAUAAAAAAACAGCACAAUGCAUUCAUUGUAGGGGGACAAGAACCAUGCAUAUACAGUAAGUCAGUAACAGCUGUUUUGACAGAUACAAAAGUUCUCCGAACAAUUAUUCACAAAAAAAAUAUCUCAUUUUACCUCAGCCUUUCCCUUUUUGAUUGAGAAGGAACAACUUCUAGUGGUGGAUCAACUAUGUUGGUUGCAUCAUCCUCAUCAGAGACACUCUUGUCCUCUAGCUCCACUUCUUUGUCCACCUCCUUAUCCUCUAGCUCCGCUUCUUUGUCCGCCUCCUCAUCUUCCUCGUCCUCAUCCUCGUCCUCCUUCCAAUCCUCCUCCUCCUCGUCCUCCUCUAUCUCUUCGUCUUCGUCAUCAACAUUCUGUUGGUGAGUUUUGGUAGUUCUUCUCCGUGUUGACCUUCUGGGCUCCUCUUGAUCCUCAGAAUCAUCGCUGAUUGUGGACACCUCACUUAUAAAUGUUCCUAUCACUUCAGUGAAACCAAUACAAGCUUUCUUGACAACUUUAGAUAAUUUCCUUUUCUUCUGUAAUUUUAAAAAAAUGUAAAAAAUGUUAGCUCCUAAGUGAUUGUAACUGGACACACAAUAAGCUAGAUUGCCUAUUUACUAAGUCAAUGUCGCCUAAUAGAUGACAUUUAAAUUGUCUAAAAGAAAAUGCAAUCCACUACAACGUUACCUCCUCAUCACUAAUAGAGGCUCCAGGAACAUCUCCUAGAAUGUAUUUUAAACAGUUCAAAUGCAAAAAAUGUUUACAACAAUUAAUGCUUUACAGCUAACCUUGAUCAUCCUAAAUUUUAGAACUAUUUGCAUCCUUUUCUUCUCACGCCUGAGCUAUCAUUUUUUAUUGUCUUACUAUUAAUGCUUUAUCAGCCGCACUGUUUUUGCUAAUUUAUAACAAUAUUAUUGUUUAAUGCCUAACACUAUUUUUGCCUAACACAAUGACAUUUGUGUUGUGAAAACAUUCAAAAAACUGAAAACUGGCAGAAUAUUUCAGGGCUUCCAAAAGUGAAACUGAAAACUGAAACUGAAAUUGAAAUUUGGAUUCUAUUAUUUCCAUACCUUUGAAGACAUGGGUGCAGAUGCCCUGUGUGAAAUAAAAUUAUCUAUGUCUUGGAAAUCCCCAAAUAAAGAGGUCUCAGUGACUGAACCAGCUAGUUUCUUGAGCUGUCACACGAAAAAAUGAAAAAAAAGAAAAAGAUUUGACUAAAUUGACAAAUGCAUAGUACAUAUAAAAAAAUUGACACAGAAAAAUAUACAAAAAAAAUUCAUACCUUGAGUUUCCCAAAUGUGCCAUUUGUGUUAGUAUCCAUCUUUAUGACCUUGUUGAUAAGUUUCAUGUUCCAUGCUGCAACUCUUGGCUGUUUUUCAGGGACUUGUAUGUUUCCUACCUCCAAAGAGUCCAGGUAAAGUAUCUAAAAAGGCAUAUAUGUAAGGUACCAUUAAAAAACAUGUAAAAGAGAAAAAAAUAGUACAUGAAUAGAAGAUUAAAAAAGAAAAAAGAAAAGACACUCACGGAGAGGAAAUACAGAUAGCCUAAAAUAGAAUCCUUUUUAUGCAUCUUUCCCACGGAUCCUUUGAGAGUAUCUACUACAAAUUUGCACCAAUUCAAUUCCUUAACUUUUGAUAGAUCAACCAAAGAAGGAUAGCACUUUGGGCUGAUGCACAAAGCUGUGCUUCCACACAAAAAAGUUGAGAUAGCAACCAUGAGCCAACACCGGAGGUAGUCAUCAUUUGCUUCCUUGUUUGCGCACAGCCUUUCUGUUAUUGUUGUAAUUGUAGGAGACCUUCCGUUGUCAAAGCUGCACUUUUCAUUGAUGAAACUAAUUGCACUUCCAUUGAAUUCAUAUUUAACCUCAUCUUCACCCAUAGGUAACCCAAGUAUCCUAUUCACAGCAGCUGCAUUUACUUUAAUCUUCCCUCUUCCAGGAAUUACAAGCUCUUCUGAUUCACCAUCCACAUUCUUCACAAGCCAUUUACUUAGGGCAGAUGGCAAUCGACCACUUCCUAUCUCAAGCAAGCCUCCAAAGCCAGUAUCACUAACAAGCUUCCGUUGGGCCUCUGACAUUUCCUUGUACAAUUUAAACAGUCUAGCAGGAGUUGCUCUAUUCCUUACACCCUAAAAAUGCAAAAAAAGAAAAGAAAAUGAGAAAUAAAAAAACAAAAAAAUAUAAGAUUAUAUACACUUAUAAAAAAAGGAUGAUUCAAACAUACAUGUGUCCCGCUAGUGCGACCACCACCAGCGCCCCUCUUUUUGGUAGCCAUUGUCUGUAAGUAAAUUUUAAAAAAGUUAGAAAAAAUCAUACUGAUUCAGAAAAAAGCAUACACAACUACCAGCAGAAAAAAUGGCAUGAAAAAAAAACAAAAAAUGGUAAUGUUGUAGUGGAUUGCAUUUUCUUAGGCAAAAAAGUGUCAUUCAUUAGGCAAAAAUGACUUCUUAAAAUGGGCGAUUUAUGUAUUCUAAAAAAGCAUCUUCUUACUAUAACUACUUCCAUUCAGUAAAUGCACUAAAUACUAGUUCUGAGACUUGUUUCUUGUCUCCCAACUCAAGAAACAUGUGCCCAAAAACUCAUCAGCAAAAAAAGGAAGCUGCUUGGCUGGCAACAGAGAGCCAAACUGGUGCCAGCUAUGUAAGCUGCGGUAGCAGAAGUAGAUGGGAAAAAAACAUGGUAACAGAUUAGUCAUUCUUAUCAUAGCUUACAACUCAAUAGCGGUUAUCCGCUCCUAUACCCAGACAUUAUUUUAAGAAUCAUUUGUUAGAUGCAAAUAUUUUCUAGAUGCAAUAUUUUAAGAGCCAACAGCUGACCCAAAUAUUUUGCACUCAACAACUACACAAACUAAACAAAAGAUGCGCCUACUGCCCUACUGUGUUUGAAAUCAGACUAUCGCUUGAAAGAAACAACAAUAUAGGAUGUUCGUGGAGCCUCUAUUGGUGAUGAGCAAGUUGCUGCUGGAAAAAUACUUGUAGUAGAUUGCAUUUUCUAAAGCAAUUUAAGGAUCAUUUGUUAAGCAACAAUGUUUUUCUAAAUAGGCAAUUUAUGUAUUCUGAAAAAGCAAAUAUAGCAUCUAUGUUCACAUGGCACUCAUAGCCCCCUCCCCCCUGAUUUAUAUGCGAAAAAAUACAUGGAUAGUUUAUGAGAAUCAUAUAAAAUGGAUAUUGGUUUGAAAAUGGUCAAUAUACCUUAUAUAGUAGGCAUGGGCCUUUUGUAAAAAGUGGAAUAUGUAAGUCUAAAUGUAUUAGUGAAUUUUCUGCAUUCAGUUUAGAAUAUUGAGUUGUAUUUUACAGCAGCAUAGGCAUGAAAACCAGGGCGGAUCCACAGGGUGGGCUGCCCGGACUGCAGCCCCCCUUGAGCCUGAUUUAUGCCUUUAAAUCAAUAGUACUUCCAUUAAUCUCUAACUUUAGUUCUAAAGCUUCACUAUUUAGCCCCCCUCAGUCCCAAUUCUAGAUCCGCCCCUGAUGAAAACAUUAUAAGUUGUGGUGAAAACAAGCAUUAUAUUAGGCUUUACCUUUUUAAAACAUUGCAGCGUAGGCAUUAAUUGCAAGAAAAAAUUACAAAAUUGUUUAUAGGCUUUACCUAAAACCCAAACAUAGCUAGCCUAAAGCCAAUCAAAGAAGGUCUUGCCUUGGCCCUUUGCCCAUGGCUAGACCUCUAGUAUUGCGAAUAACAUAAAAGGUACUUGAAUCUACAUAAUUAUAAGGACAAGACAAUAUUAAUGGUUUGCUUGUAAUAUAAACAGCGUAGUUUGGCUCUUAAGUUGGCCAAUGUUAACAAGAAAGAUGAUAGAUGAGAACCCAUGAACAAUACAGAAUGAACCAUGAGUUUCCUAAACAUGUAUUCCAGAAAUGGGUAAUAAUUAGAACACAGGAAAAAAUACUAAAAACCUAGAGCAUAAAAAAUGCUUAGCUAAUAUUUAUAAUUUGCUUGUUGAUUUAGUAUAAGUUGCCUACAUGAAAGUAAUGAAGUACAUGUUUAGGAAAAAAGUGGCAUGAAAUGUGCUCUCACCACAUAUGUACUUAUUUACAUAUUGCGCACAUCAUACAUGCUUUGUGCUUUGUACUUGAUCUUCCCCUCCUAGAUAACUUGGAACCUGCAAUGGAAGAACAUGAAAAAACAAAGAGAGAUUAGAGAAGAAUGAUGUAAAAAUUGCCUAAUGAUUUGCAUUAUUUUGCAUUGAUCAUGCCACACUAUUGCCUGGUCAGAGUAUAUUUAGUUGCCUAUUUCCAAUGAAGUUUAGUAACUAAUCAAUGUGCAUGUAAGCGGUAGUAUCCUAGAGAACAAUUAGAAGCCAGAUUGUAUUUGUACUGUACAAGGUAGUAGCCUACCAGGGAGUGGCAGGUCAGAUCAGUUCCAUUUCGUGGCCACUAAAACCUGUUGUCUGACCAGGACAUGUAGAAGUCAAACUAGUUUUGGGCUGUAACAUGUCGGUUGCCACAACCCACAACAACCAAUCUUAGCUAUGUUGUACUAUAAAUAGAAGGCAAUAUAAACUUGAAGCUGUAGCUUUUAGCGGCACCUAAACAAACUAUCCAGUCUUAUUUCUACGAAUGCAUUUGAGUUGGUUUAGAUACAACAUUGGUGUUCAAUUGAGUAUAAUAAGAUAUUUUGUGCAAACAAAACAUCAGGUCAAUGCAAAAAUGCUUCAGAACCAGGUGAUGAGAACAUGAAUAUAUAGUUCUACAGAGCUAUUUGGUGUUGCAGAGAACAAUUAGGGAAUUCAUUAGGCAAUAAUGUUUUCCUAAAAUAGCAAUUCAUGUAGACUAAAAAAGCAAGUAUAGAGUCUGCGUUCAUUUUGCAACCUACACCCCCACCCCCACCCCCAUUUAAUUGCAAAAAAAUCAAAAACAGGGGCAAAAAGUCACGGUGUCAAAAACAACUGAUAUUACAAACUAAGAGCUGACAUGCAACUCUUGUCUACUGCAAGCUAACAUGCAACUCUUGUCUACUGCAACUUUGACCUUGUUACUACCGCAAAAUACCUCCGUCGCCGCUCUGAAUAUCGGCAGCCAUGCCCUCCCCUCAGUGAACAAAAAAAAUCUACAACUGACUCUAACCCCUAAUUUAGCCAUGUCUCAAAUCUGAGAGGAGGCGGAGGAGGAGGAGCCCUACCUGACAUGGUUCCGCCACGGGAAGUGGAGUACCUAGGAGACGACGUCGCGGCCGGCGAGGGCGAGGAUGUCGGCGCAGGAGACCUUGUAUGCGCACUUGGGGGUCGGCGUCGACGCGCGGCCUUGGCGCGGGUGACGAGGUCCAGCGCGUCCGGUGCACAGCGUUGUGUCGGCGCUCGCGCUGUGCUCGUCGUCGGGGCCCGACAACAGCACGGACGCGUCGCAGCCCUGGGAUUGUGCAGGGACGGGGGACGUCAAUCGAUCUAUUGGAUCCAUGGGAUUAUGCGGGAUCCAGGGGGAGGAUGAACGGGAGGGGGGGAGGCGAGGACGACGAACCUGUGUGCGAGCAGGUUCCAGCACCCUAUGCGGUUCGAGUUGCCUUCAAUUCCUCACCGAGCCUCUUCUCUGCGCAAAAACCCUAGGUCAAAAGCAUCGAAUCUCGCCAAGAAAACACAGCAGAGAAGAUGGGAGAUCGACGAGGGAGGAGGGAGGAGGGGAGGGGAGGGGUGGGCGACGAACCUGUGCGGCAUCCAGAAAGAGCUCGGCCCCGAACCUCUGCAGCAAUGGGGAUGAAAUGCGUGGGGGGAAACUGACGGGCGCGGUUACCAACGUUUGAAAUGACAAGUCCAGACAUGACAAUACCAUGUGGGCCCGCGGUUUGUCCGCAUGCCGCUUUGCAAAUAAAGGCGCGUCGGCUCGUGGGCGAUUGGAGUGUGCGUGCAACAAGUUAAUGGCACGGUCGGCCAGAAACAAGUCUUUACCUUAAACAAAGGCCUUGUUUACUUCCACCCAAAAUCCAAAAACUUUUUAAGAUUCUCCGUCACAUCGAAUCUUUAGACACAUGUAUGGAGUAUUAAAUAUAAACAAAGUUAAAAACUAAUUACACAGUUUGGUCGAAAUUUACGAAAUGAAUCUUUUGAGCCUAGUUAAUCCAUGAUUGGACAAUAAUUACCACAAACAAACGAAAGUGCUACAGUGUUCCGGAAAAAUUUCGGCAAGGAACUAAACAAGGCCAAAAAGAAACAUCUCUCCCUCUCUAAUGUUGUCAUUUUUUUACUAUUUACUAAAAAAAGAAAGAGUAAAGUGCACGGCACUCAAACUUGUUUGGGUAUAUUAUUUUUAGUCCAAAAAAUUAGUAAAUCAUUCAUUUAGGUCUUCACACUUGUUUUUCUAUCUCUAAAAUUAUAAAUCAAUCGUUUACAUCAUCAAACUUGUUUCAUUUUAUCAUCUCGGUACCUAAACUUACAAUUGCCCAUUUAGAUUCGGUCUAAGGCCUUGUUUAGUUGGAGAAAAAUUUUGACUUUGGCUAUUGUAACAUUUUCGUUUGUAUUUGACAAUUAUUAUCCAAUUAUGGACUAACUAGGCUCAAAAAAUUCGUCUCACAAAUUACAGAUAAACUGUGUAAUUAGUUAUUUUUUAUCUAUAUUUAAUACUCUAUCCAUGCCUCAUAGUUGUACGAGUUUUUAUGGUAUUCUCGCAUGUGCCCCGUGUUAGGCUGGUAGCUCCAUCUCUCUCCUUCCUCUUCUUCCCUGAGCUUCCUCCCUCUUAUCUCCUCUCUCAUGAGCUCAUGGCUCAAUAGCGACAUGGCUUCGAAGCCACGACAGAGGUGGUGACACAACUAGGUUUUAGUGUGUUCUCAGACAACUAGUGAUGGGGACGUGAUUCUCGAUCUUUCGUCGGGUUCAAGAUAAUUAUUGAUUUGGACGAAAAGCAACACACCGAUCCGGCUUUAGAUCAAAAGACCGGAACCCCGCAACCUUAGCACCACAUCUCCUCUAAUUAUCAACAAUGUUGUAAUCAGAUUAACCUUGCCACGAAGGCUAAUCUCUGCUACAAAUCAAAAAACACAAGCAAAGAACAAGGUAAAAUAUAACUCAAUUGAAGUGAAAAUUUGCAGAUGUAUGAUUAAGAUCUCAUAGUGGGGAUUCACAAACCGAUAACGACGAAUGUUUAGAGACAAAUUAAUCUAAAGCAAAAUCCAAACUCUAAUGUAGGUGGUGGCUACUGAUUAUAUAGCCUAAGGGGCAUCCAAGGACCCCUCUUCACGUCCAUAAGGUGCCCCAACACGUUAUAAAAGGCCCAACGACCCAAAAGACAACAACACAACAUCUAAACCGAUUGUGGAUGUCAACUUGUUCCGAGGAUUUCUACCGACCCCGAAGGAAUUUAGACCUCAAACUAAAGCCAUUGAUUAGAUUAUGAAAUUAUUUUUUCCAUCCAUAUGUGGAUCAUCAAAAAUGGAGUUUGAAUACGUUCUAAAUGUCUGUUUUAUUGCAGGUUGGUCCUCAAGGCUAAGCUAGACUCGAACUCGAGUUGGACUAAGCCUCCGGCUUGGCUUGGAUGCCCUUGCUGGCCUCCUAAGGAGGUGGCCAUGCAGGAGGACGUCUAAGGGCUUCCUUACUGGGUUCACCAUCUUCUUGAGAUGUGCUCCCACUUGGGCUAGGGUCUUAAGAAUUAAAAACAUGUCCACAAUGACGAUGUACCUCCCAACAAAAACAACGAUGUAAUAUCUUAACUCAAAGGCCUUGCCAAUGUGAUAUUGAAGUGGGAUAAGAUCUAUUUAAAAGCUUAUCAAACAAGUUUUCUAGCAAGUACUCAUUGACCUCGAUCAUACUCUGAAUGGAUGAGUUAUGACUUUUCCAAUGAAGCGUUGUCGGGCUGCUGACGAACCAAAAGUUCAACUUUGAUGAACUUGCAAUCUAAAACACAUCUACAAUCAAUUAAUGGCAUGUACAUAUAGAACCAAGUGAAUUAUACCUAAAAUCACUAUACAACUGUAGGAGCGGGCACACCUUAUAAUCAAUGGUCGUAUCCUAAGGUGUCUUAUCCUCAUUAGCUAAAGUGCAACCCAUCAUAGAGGCUCAACACGAUUAAUGGUGUAUGUGUAGUCAAAUGACAUGUUGAGAUGACAGACUAGAAAAAGGUGAAUAGUUUUUUUCUAAAAAUAAAUAUGUCGACUAUCCCAAACAAAUAAAUUAAAACUACUUAGUCUAUCCUUGACUACAUCUAUCUAUCUAUAUUCGCAAGUAGCUUACACAAGAUCAUAAUUAAGCAACUAAAGAGUCAGGCUAAGUAGAGUUCAUCUGCAUAAUUCUAGAUCACAUAAAUCUAUGUAACUAAUACUUAAGCAAACAGGAGCCCCUACACAUACUAAGGGGGUGUUUGUGACUGCUCUGCUCUACGUUUUUCAGCUCUGCUUCAUGUUUUUUAGCCAAACAGUUUCAGCUCCACACACUCAGUUCGAGAAAAAAAAUGAAGUUGUGAGAACACCUAAAAAGGUACUCCACUGACUCCAGUUUUUUGUGGAGCUGCUCUAUGGUAGACUACUAUAGUAUGACACAAUUGUGGUUUUUAUACGCUGAAAAGGCACGAAAUUGUGUCGAGGGGUCAUAAGUGAAAUCUCUAAAACUUCAAAAAAGGACUACAAUUUUAAUAAACCCAUGAUUUUAGGUUAUAGAGAAUACAAGAUUUGCUGUAUUUAAUAAACAUCCGAUAACUUUUGAAUCAAAAAUUUAAAUAAAAAGAAACUUUUGAAUCAAAGUAUUUUGUUUGGCAAACCCAUAUUAUUUCCUCUAAUGCUUCAAAAAAAUAUUUUACGUACAAAUAGUAGUAUGUAAACUAAUGUAACUACCUAUAAUAAACAGUAUUAUUAGUUAAUGGAUCCUUGACGACGAUCCGAUCCAUCCCUAGGUAUGAUCCAGUGCGGCUGGCCCCACAUCCGCUCAACCUCGCCGGCGUUUAGCUUCAUCCGCCCCAUGCGCCCCGGCCUCACAAGGUCGGAGAAGCCGACGUCGUACGCGACGGCCAGGCGCCCGCACGGGCGCGUCACCCGGUGGGCGAGGAUCACGUACACGCGGUUCGCCUUGGCCCCCGCCGGGCCGGCGGUGACUGUGAACCCAUGCGCGCCGUCGACGAACACGGCGCGGUGACCGAUGUCGUGCACGGGCCUCCACCUCGGCGGCCUCCGGCUGCCCCUGUGCUUCGCGCGGUACGCCUCGGUGAAGAGCACGCCGCGGCUGUCCUCUCCGGCGCGGCGCACCAGGAGGAUCGCGUCGUCAGCCGAGGGCGCCAAGUAGGCGCCGUCGACGUCGCCGCCCAAGUGCAAGUCCAAGCCCGGCGGCGCCGGGAUCCUCGCGCGGGCUCGCAGCGUGCCGGCGUCGAUGACCGUGGUUUCCAGCGUGCGCCGCUCGAGGACGAAGAAGAGCCCGCCGCGGUAGUUCACCGUCAUGUGCGAGCCGAGCCGCGACUGGUGCACCGGCGUCCACCGCCGCUCGCCGCCGCCGCCGCCGCCGUGCUCGCAGAAGAAGGCCGUGUCGCCGCGGGCCACCAUGACGCCGCGCGGGGACCAGUCCCACGCGAGCCCGUCGUCGGUGACGCGCGCGCAGCGCUGCGGGCGCGGCUCGUCGUCGCGGUGGCAGUCCACGGGCUCCUUCUCCGAGAACGGGAUGGGCAGGUCCGGCAGCGGCGCGCGCGAGCCGGUGAAGGGGUCGGCGAGGUGGCACGGGUGCCUGUAGCACACGUCCGUGGCCAGCACCGUCCCGCCGCGCGGGGACGGCAAGAGCCGACGCCCGGGCACCGGAGGCAUUGCCCGCACGUCGACGUCGAGCAUGCGCAUGUCGGCGAGGGAGAAGACCUUGUACCCAUGCUCCGACGCGAACGCAAGGCACGGGAUGGUCGCCGACUCCUCCUCCUCCUCGUGGCCGCCAUGCUCCGUGCUCACCUCGGCUAGGGACGGCACCGUGACAUUGUUGGUGGUGGCGGGGUCGUCAUCGUCCACCGGCGCCUCCGUCCGGACGGAGACAGACGGCGGCGAUGAGGAGGACGACCGCCGCCGAGGCCGUCUUUCGGGGGACGACGGGGAGAGGAGGAGAAAAGAACGCAGCUCAGCCCUGUGGCUGCGGCGGUCGUCGUCGUCAUCGUCUGGCGUCGUCGUCGGAGACGACGAAACUCCGCAGACGAACUUGGCGAACUUGCCGGAGAGCUGGGAGAACAUGGCGGCGGCGGCGGCCAUGGUGUUGGCGACUAGAGGCCAACACCACAUUGGUGUAACAAACUAACAAAAAACGCAAUCUGGCCAAAUCAAAGACUACUUAUAGUAGUUAAUAUAUUUUGAUUUUGAUAACUUUAACAGAUUAAUCCGAUCUGUAACAAACACGUCGUACUAGUUUGUUAACGGUAAGAUCCGGCUCCCAUCAUAACUAAGGCCCUGGCUAAAUUUUAGGUAGCUAAAAUUAUUUUAGCUACUCUUGGGUGACUAAUGGAACUAAACUAUUUUAGCUCUUUUUAGUCAAUGUGUUUGGAACUUUAGCUGCUAAAGUGACUAAAAUUUAACUAGCUAAAAUUUAGUUGGUGGAACCAAACAGGGCCUAAAUUAGCGUGAAAACAAGCCCCUGUGCUGGCCCAAAUCCUGGUUCGGUGUUUCAGUUAAUUGCACGAACGCUAGCAGAUUUGCCAUUGAGGCUGAUGCGUUGGUUUUUUUCAUUUACAUGCAUGCUUAUUAUUAUUGGAUUGGAGACCAUGGGUCCAACACGUGUGAAAUUCGCAUCCUGGAAUUGUGACAAGGCAUCCUAUUUUUAUAGGCCAAGUGAGUCUCUUGGAGUUUUGUUAGGAAAUAGGAUGUAUGUGAGAUAUGUUACAAAAGUACAAGUGCUGUUCACUCACUAUAAAAAGUUUAAUAUAUUAAGAGGGCUCGAGAUGUAUAUUCAAAUUCAAUACGUUUGAUCUCUUUCUCUCAGCUCCAACGAUUAAAUACAUGAGAGACUAAGGGCACUCGCAAUGCAGACUCUAUCAUAGAAUCUAAAGUUAUUUAUUACCUCGAACAAUGUGGACUUAGAGUCUAAAUAAACUUGGAGUCUUAUUUUUUCUACAUCUUUCUUCAAUAAAUAUGCUACCACAUCAACAAAAUACCAUAAAUAAUAUGUAAUUAAUUAUCUUGGACUCUGUGAUAGAGUCUUGCAUUGUGAGUGCCCUAAAACUUACUACUACCUUUGAUUUCAAAUAUAAGUCACUUGAGGAUUUUAUUUGGUCAAACUUUUAUUUACUUUGACCAUCGGUAAAUGAAAAUUGGCAUAGUUUACAAGUCAUAGGCCUUGUUUAGUUGCAAUUUUUUUUGCACAAUAGACAAUGUAGCAUUUUUGUUUGUAUUUGACAAAUAUUAUCCAAUCAUGGACUAACUAAGCUCAAAAAAUUCAUCUCGCAAAUCACAUACAAACUGUGCAAUUAAAUAAUUUUUUAAUCUAUAUUUAAUGCUUCAUGCAUGUGCCGCAAGAUUCGAUGUGACGUGAAAUCUGAAAAAUUUUGCAAAAUUUCUCAGAAACUAAACAAGGCCAUAGUUGAUGUUUUCAUAUUUAUCAUGGAAACUACAUCCAUAGUAUAAAUGAUUUCCGCUAUGUAAAACGAAUAACUAAAGCUGCAAUAAAAUGUUAGAGCAUGUGUUACUCUAUUAAACAACAUACAUGUACAGUUAGGGAGAGCAUCAUGGAGCACAACCAUUCAAUCUCUUUUUCUCCCACAAAAUGUAAAAAAAGUCAUUUAAUAAAGAGAAUAAUGAGACUUAAUUAAGUUGUUAGUUUUGUGCAUUUAAUAAACAUUUUACGAGGUGAUGUAAAAAGUCCACAGAGGUGGGAGAAAAAGUCAUUUAAUUUUUCUCACACAACAUAGUACAUGGUGAUAGAAAAAGUCCAAAAACCUCCCCACGUCACAACCCCGUUAAAUGCUAGUUGGAUACAUAUAUUGCUCCUCUUUAGAUUAAGUGCUAGUAGCUAAAUACGAGUGCUCAGGCUAAAAAAGUAACUCCAUCAUCAGAACCCCUACUCCAGACAUCAUAUUUGGUUAGGAACCCAUAUUUUUUUCUCCAGACCCAUUCUUGUUGGCCUAACAGGACAACCUCUAUCAUCCAUCGCGUGUUCUAGCCCUAGCGUGCACUCCCUCUCUCUCUUUCCCUGCACGUGCACAACACUCUACGUUCACCGGCUCGAUCCUCCAAUUGUGUCCUGUCCAAAAGAAGAACAAAGAGAAAGAAGAAAGAGACAAUGACGAGUGGGUCCCUUCUGUCAUUCUCUACCAGAAUAGAUUUAGAGGCCCAAAUUUAGGUGUUGCUGUUUGAGUUGAACCAAAAUAAAAUUGAGCCCCCAAAAGUAGGAGGAGCAUCCAAAUCAAAAAUAGGAGCCUUAUUUUUGAGGCUAACAGCUGAAGUUGCUUAUAUCAUUGGCAUUUGAGGUAGCAUUGGUUUGUAGAGAUGCUUAGAUUUUGUGCCAUGAUAGAUUAGUUUCAUUCUAGUGUUACAAAAUUGUUACACUGGCCCGGCCGAAAUCAAUAGAAAAUCAUUUAGGUGAGAUUUUUCCGCAUCCAGUGAAGUCUUAAAAAAAGUGUUAAAGAAUUUUUCUUUUUCACCUUCACCAUCGUCAUUACCAUUUCAAACAAUCCUUGCCCCUGCUAUCACUUCAAACAAACAUUCUGCGACAAAAUAUAUCCUCUUGCAAUAUGGUUUUAUACCUCUUAGGACAUCUGCAGUGUGAAAACAAUUAUGUUUUGCACCUGCGCAAACACUACUGCGUCAGAAUAUUCCAACUUCAGGCCUUGUUAGUUCACAAAAAUAAAAUUUUUUUGAAUAUCACAUUAAAUAUGUUGGCAUAUAUUUAAAGUAUCAAACAUAGACUAACAAAAAAAUAAAUUAUAUAGCUCGCUUAAAAACCGCGAGACGAAUUUAUUAAACCUGAUUAAUCCAUCAUUAGCACAUGUUAGUUACUGUAGCAACUAUGAUUAACCAUUGACUAAUUAGACUUAAAAGAUUUGUCUUAUGAUUUAUAACUAAACUGUACAAUUAUUUUUUUAUCUAUAUUUAAUAUCCAUACAUAUAUCAAAAGAUUCAGAUUCGAUGGAACGGUGAAAAUUUUUUUUUGUGAAAAAGUAAACAAGGCCUCACUGUGUGAGCAUCGAUUUACAGGGCCACCUCUCUCCUCUUGAUUGCUAGGCGAAUUUGCAACUUGCUUUGCUGGAGUUGACAUUUUUUUAUCCAACUCGGUUCGAGGCAUCAGCAAGAUGCGAUUUUAUAUUUGACACUCGCGGUUCGUUAGCCACAACGUGCUCGGUUCGAUUUUCCAUCACUAUGGUUCGAUUCAGCUGCCAUUAACUUAUAUAUGUUUUUUUUUUUAAAAAAAUCUUGAGUAAUCUAGAGAUCGAAUAAGUCAAUUAUAAAAUUUAGUCUUUUUCUAUAAAGUCAGGCUGUACUAUUAUCCGUACUCUAAUUCUCCUGCUACUCCACACUGUUUAUAUAAAAGAAAAACAUAUAAAAAAUAUAAAAUCCUAACCAGUUCUUGCUAAAAUUAACGGCGUCAUGACUCAUGAGAGACCGCCAGAGACCAGAGUUGUGGGCUUGAGGCUGGGGCGCUCCGGCUGCGCAACACAUCUCGGUGGCAACGGUGUUCAGGCGGACUCCCCGGCGAUUGCGGCUGGCCGCGAUGCAUCCAGGGCGCAUCCUCCUCGCUGGGCUCCGGCGCUCAGCCUCUGUCGCUUCUUCCGUUGCUCAGUCGCCAAAGGUGAGAGUUUGAGACCUUUGUAGUCGCCGCAUCUGAGACCACCAUUUGUGCAUACUCUUCCUUUUUCAGUCUCAAAAGUUUUUCUGUGUCACGUCGAUACGCUGCUGUCCAAUAGCAGAAAGGGAGAGCAAAUCUGGAUCUGCGGUUUCGAGGGAUAUGUUUACCAAAAAAAUGCCUAAUCUUUAUCCACAACCAAGUCUACAUAAGAGGAAGGCCAAUAAAGAACAACCUUUGCAUCCGUGCCCACGCUUGCCUAAGAGCAUCCCUUCUCUCCUCCACAUGUCCUGAAAUUUACACCACAGCUUAAAGUUAAAAUCCAGGAAAACAGACCCUGAGCUGACUACGCAAUUGCAAAGAGAUGUAGAUUCAUUGCAGUGGUACUUGUGCUAUGCUGUUCCAUAGUUUAGAACUGGCACUGUACAUUGGUGAAUUUAUCGGCUUCACUAACAGAAGCUGCUUUUGGCAAAUCGCUAUUACUUCACUGAGCCAUACCUGUAAAGUAGUUGAUGAACACAUUUCUUGGAAGAACCAUUUUAGAUAUGAAUUAUCGUUUAGUUAAUUUGAUACUAUCACUGAUUUGUCAGGGUAAGCAGUUUAGCUGUUGGAUCAUUCUUCCAAGUUAGCGCUUUUCAGUAUCCUUUGUGCAGCCUACAUUCCUUCUGCUUCUACAUGAAAGCAAUGCAUCAGACUUCCCCCAGUGAUAAGUAAGCAGUUUAGCUGCCAGGGGUAAGCGGUUUGAAAUAAUAUCGGCAGACGUAGGCCUUUCAAAUAUUUUUCAUUUCUCUGAUAUAGAUUACAAAAGAGGAAAUCCAUUCCCACAUGCUGCACAGCCAUACUGUAGAAACUGGUUAUGUCAACUAUGCCCUUGAAUUGCUCAGUCAAAUUAAACCACAUGUAUGCAUGCAAAUACGAUGUUUCCCUCAUCACAGAUUCACUAUAUAUGAUGCUUUGACAUUACCUUCUUGGCUUCUUUCUUCACAGAAUAUGUGUUAUUGGAACAGAGUUAUUUGGAGUUCACGUUAUUUUCACAGCGCAAGUGGCAGUACUUUCGGUGAAGGAGGCUCAGCAGCAAAGGUAGCGAUGGACUCUCCUCGCACUGUCUCACAGUGCCAUGUUGACUGUUUUUAUUCUUCUUGAGCUUGAAUUAUAGAUAUUGAUCCUAUUGAGCUCGUAUUAAUUAUUAAGAAACAACUUGAUAUGUAUUAUGCCUACAUAUUGAUAUCGUACUUGUUUCAAUCAUGCAAAGUUUUGACACCAUAAUAAAAAGGCAAUUAGUUAAACUUAAUGUAUCAUUCUUUUCUUUCUGUGUAGUAGGAGCUGCCAGACCCCUUUGCCCUGAUUAAAGAGGAAGUGUCUGAAGUCACAAAUCGAUUACGCUCAAUGGUGGUUGCUGAGGUGCAUAAUCCAAUUGCGACCUUCUCCUAAAACCUAUGAUUACCAUAUUUUAAAUCUUGAAAUACUGUUUAAGUACAAUGCUCUCCUUUUCUCAAAUUUUAAGCUUUCGUGUGAACUAUUCUACGCACGGAACUUUUUAGAUUCACUGUGACUACAGGUACCCGAAUUGACAUCGGCAGCUGGAUACUUCUUCAGAGCUGGAGCUGAAGGGAAACGAACGUGCCCUACUGUAAGACCAGAAUUUGGAGUGUUAUUAUUGAAUGUGUUGCUGUUAUACUAUGGGCAUGGCAUACUAUUUUCUAGUUCAAGCGAAUAUAUAUAAUUACUCAUUCCUUUUGUCAUUGUAAGUUCUUGAUCAUUGAUGUUUCAGGUUCUGCUAUUGAUGGCUUCAGCUAUAAGCACAGACAUGAGUGAUCCAAUUGUUGGCUCAGAGAAUAAGCCUCGUGCAAGGCAUAUGCGUGUUGCUGAGAUAACUGAAAUGAUUCACGUACACAUCUGAACCUCCUUGCAUUUGACACUCUAUUCAGAAUUAUUUAUUCCAAUGAUUCAUUUUCUAUCUUGCAUCUUAGAUAUCAAGCCUUAUCCAUGACGAUGUUUUGGAUAAUGCUGAUACUAGGCGUGGUAUGGACUCAUUGAACUUCACAGUGGGAAAAAAGGUAAUAUGAUAAUUUCUGUCAUAGCUAAGUUGUCUAUUUAAAACAGGCAAAUACAGCGUAGUUUGGUAAUUGUUCUAUAAAAGUGAAAAUAUGAAGGAUUACCAUUUUGAAGGUAGCUGUUUUAUUUAACAUGUACAAAUCAAUCAAUUGCUUUUCAGUAGCUCCACCUAAGGUACUUCAUUUUAUUUUAGGUACUUUCUUUUAUCUUUUUAUAGUUAAUCAAAAACCAAAAUGUCAACAAUUUCUUUUAAUAUGUCAUCCCUGUUUUCUUCCUGUUAAUGUAAAUAAUGGUUAUAUUUGUUUUUCAGCACAUUCAUCUCAUAAGUAAAGAUUGUGUCCAAGCUAUGCUAUAAACUUUGCAAAAAUGUAAAUCAACUAUGUUUUUUUUCAUAUUUGCCUCUAAAAAAAUGGUAAAGCUGAAGCUUUUUUGCAGCUUGCAGUUUUGGCUGGUGAUUUUCUACUUUUCAGGGCAUUUUCUGCUGCUGUGGCUCUUGACAAUACUGAGGUGUGAUGUUUAUUCUUUAUUUUUAUGCCAAAAAACUAUUCUUGUUCAAAUUUAUUGACAAUGUUGCUAAUAAAGCAUUUAUGAGUGGGGAUUCUCAUGAAUUGCUGCAUAGAGACAACAUAACCAGUUUUUAUUAGCAUGUGAUAUGCCAUGACACUUUGCAUCUUUAUCCAUCUCUACAACGUCAGAUUUUGUCAGUUACUUUCCACUCUGUAUCUUCACAGGCUGAUAACAUCUAGACACCCACUUGUUCUCACUGCAGGUUGUAUCAUUACUAGCAACUGCUGUAAAUAAUCUUGUAACUGGUGAGCUUAUGCAAUUGACAAUAACCCCAGCACAGCGCUGCAGGUAGAUAUUCAAUUCAUUUCUCACUUCCUACUAUCAAGCUAUUCUCGAGUGCAGUUUUUACUAAUGAAAUACAGUGCUCAUCAACUUUGAUAAGGUUGAGAUGUGAAGGUGUCCAAUGUUUUCAGGUUGUCCGUUAAUCGCGAUUAGUCGUCCUGGUCAGUCCUAGGUGUUCGAUUAGGAGGUCCGACUCGACCAGCUCGACCAGAAAGCUGGUUGUCUGAUUAGUUGUCCGACCAGGACAUGGACAACCAGUUUGGUUACUCUGUUUUUGGGCUUGUUUAACUGGGCUGGUAUGUGGGCUGCUGGGCUUGCAGCUUAGCCUGUUAAGGUUAGUAUAGAUAGCAUGGAGGCACCUUGCUGGGGGUAUGGAGAUGCUAUUGGUUGUCCUCUUUCUCCAGAAAUAGUUAAGAAGGAGAUGCAGGCUUACAUCAAAAAGAAUUCAAGGACUGUUCUUGUGGAGGCACAAAGUGAAGAUGAAGAGGAACAAGAUGUUGCCGCUGCAGAAGAAGCUAAAGACUAAUGCAGUCUUGAUGCUUCCUUUAUUGUGUAUAAUAUAGUAUGUAUAUAUAUAUAUAUAUAUAUGGGUAUAUGUCUUGAUAUACAUGGACGACCAGGGUCGAUUAAUCGACUUGGUCGACGAUAAAUCAAGAUUAAUCAUCUGGUCGGUCCUAGGUCGACCAGGUUCGACCAGCCGACCUGAAAACAUUGAAGGUGUCACCAUAUCAGAUUAGUUCUGUACUCCCUCCUUUCCAAAUUAUAAGUUGGUUUGGCUUUUUUAGUACAUCCAAUGUCUAGAUACAUAGCAAAUUCGAUGUACCAAAAAAGUCAAAGCGACUUAUAAUUUGAAACAGAGUAAGUAGAAUACUAGUAUGUUGCUACGGUCAAUCAAUUAUAAGCUCUUCAUUUUUCUUUCUUUCUUUCUGAUCUAUGUGUAAGUAGCUGUAUCUGUCUAUAUUGGAUGUGUACUUAUGUUACUUUUUCAUUAAGACAAAAGAUGUUCACUAAUAAUUUUACGUAUCGCCAUAAUAGGUCACUAGUGCCUGAGGCCUGAGCAUCAACUAAAAAUUAACCUAGUUCUAGAUUGAAGGAACUGGAAAAAGGAAAGUAAGAAUGGUCGAUGGAUUCACCAAACUAUAAUAAUAUGUGAACCCAACAGUUCUAAUGUUUUAUUACUUAAGUUGACACAUGCUCAUGAAUGCUGUACAGCAUGGAUUAUUAUUUGCAAAAAACAUACUACAAGACAGCUGCGUUGAUUUCAAACAGCUGCAAAGCUAUUGCAGUUCUUUCUGGGCAAACAACAGAAGUACAGGCUCUUGCUUAUCAGUAUGGCAGACACUUGGUAUGUUGGUAUUUUUCCUUACCCAGAAUCUGUUGCCUUUCUUGCUUACCAUGAACCGCUAGGAUGACCCACUCUAUAAAUCUCUGCCAGGGUAUAGCAUAUCAGUUGAUUGAUGAUAUCCUCGAUUUCACAGGCACAUCAGCUUCACUAGGCAAAGCUUCCUUUACUGAUAUCAAUCAAGUAAUACAAUUAGUUUCUCAAGUAUCUCUUGAUAGUAUUUUACCUUUUUCAUAUAUUAACAUGCAAGGAAUUAUGUAUGGACAGGGAAUUGUGACGGCUCCCGUACUGUUUGCGAUGGAAGAGUUCCCCCAACUCCGUGAGAUUGUCGAACAGGGAUUUGAUGACCCUUCAAACGUUGACGUGGUUUGUAUUGAAACUGUACCUUUUCCCUUUUUUCUGGUAAAAAUGCUCCAACAAUUUGGGUUGCGAAAUGUUCAUAUCUUGGCUAGUGUGGUCACAGACGUGCCCAUUUUAUACACUUAUAGGUCCUCAAAUACCUUCAGAAAAGUCAAGGAAUCGAGAGGACGAGGUUACUUGCUGCUGAACAUGCAAAACUAGCUGCGGUAGCUAUCGAUGAUCUUCCUGCGAGCGAGGACCCAGUUGUGCUUAGCUCGAGGCAAGCGCUCAAAGAUCUUACUCAAAAGUUCUUGAGGAGAACAAAGUGAACUGGUGGCGGAAAGUGUAGAACUGGCUAAGCAUGCCAGCAGGCUUCAAUACAUCACCAUGCAUGUUUUUGUUGACGAACAGUUUGUUAUGGUGACAGAUGAAUUUGGGAGGUUGGGGACGAGAGUACUACCUCUCUUUUUCCUCCAUUUUCAAAGCAGCAGAAUUGUACGACCUCAAUGAAACCGUGCAUCUUGGUUAUUGUAUUGUCAAGGACAAGCCAUUUCAUCUUGUAUAUGCCACCACCACCUACAUGCUGCACAUUGCAUGGCGACAGGUUGAGCCAAAGCUAAAUGGCAUCACCCUUUUAUUUUAUUUAUUUAUUUAUUUAUAUUUUUUAGGGAAUAUUGCAGUAACCAUUUCCUCCUUUUUGCUGUCCAUUACUGUUUUGUGAUUUAUUCACACACGUUUUUUUUGUAGGCCUUUCAAUAUUAUACAUCGAUUUUAUAGCAACUAUACAUAUAUAUUAAGAGAAAUUAAUGGUCAAAGAUUCGAAGUAUGAAUCUUUUUUUUUAAAAAAAUUAUAAUUCGCAUAGUAAAAAUGACUACGAUGGAGGGACUACACAAGAUUAUUCAUAUGAAAUGAUAUGGUUACGGGGUUGGAGUAUGCUUUUCUCAAAGUUUUUUUUGUUCAUCAUAUUACAAUUUCAUUUCAUUGAUUUGAAAAACAAAUUGAAACACAAGUGUGGAUCUAAACUAAAUAUUGGAGGCAAUGAAGAUCCAAAAUAACACUUGUUAGCUACAUGUCCAUACAUGUGACAUGUCUCCCAUUUCCAGAUAACUGAUGUACAUACAGGCGUCAACGUGCCCGUUCACUCCUUACACAGCAAGCAGCCAGCAAAGACCAAAAACAGAACACUACUAGGCUGUUAAGCGACAGGUAGUGCACCAAAAGUCAUCCUGCAGGGUUUAUAUGACAGCUGAACUAGGCAACCUAACCACACUGCCCACCAGUUCAAAGCAGGAGCUGGGGAUGAUGAUCACAGAGAAUAGUAGUCAUGGAUGUAAGUGUAGUAUCUUGGGUCAUCACAGGUCACAUUGCGCAAGUCCGGGCUUGGGGGUUCUGGGGACCAAGGGGGUGAAUAGUCAUCCCAGUAGUAGUCACCAUAGGAAUCAUCAUCAUCUUUGGCAGUUGUUGGAGGCGGCAAUCCCUCGCCAUUUCCCUUUGGCUUGUUGUCCGUCGAACUGUCGGCCACCAGGAAAUCAAAGACUUCGGUGCUAGCCAGCGCCGCGGUGACAUCCUUCUUCUGCAGUGUCCUCCUCAUGUCCUCCUCAGUGUGAAGCCACGCCCGCAACGUCAGCUCCUGGAUGAACAUCUCACAAGCCUUGGCGAAGAGCAAUGGUGCCUCGCCUGCAACCCUUUUUGGGAUGUUGGAGUCAGCCUUCAUGAUCUUCUUGAUCCUUGCUAGCGGAAGGCUGUGGGUCUUGAAAUUAGUUGUCUGCUUGAUCUCGGCAAGCUGGCCAGACCAGAAGGCCUGGAGCGGUUGCUGGCAGUGGCAGUGAUCGUCUUGCUGGGAUUGGGAUGCAACCUGGUGGUGAUGUGAGAGUGGAGGUUGGAUCACUGGGGCAUCAUCCUGGAAGUCUGAAGGAAUGGCAUCACCGUUUGUCACACCUUCGCUCACUGCACUCUCAGAGGGUUGCCCUUCCGUGUCCAUGAUGCACUUCAGAGUGCAGCCGCUGCUGGACAUGUCAGUCAAUCACAGAUAAUCACUCGUUAAAUUUGUAUAAGCAUUACAUGCAGUCACUAGAAGUUAACACUAUUCAGAAUGAAAAAAAAAAUCCCGAAAUGACAAAACAUCCAGCAAGAAAACAAAGUAACAAGAACUUUUGUCAUCAGAAUAGAAAGACAUAAGAUUUUCUACUUUCUUUAUAUAUACAAUAACUCAGGAAAAAUUGUUAUAAAUGCCAGAAUAUAAUAGAAAUUUGGCGGCCCUCAGUCUUCUAUCUUGCACAGCACCCUAAAAAGAUUUUCUGACAAAAUUGUUAAAUGGCACAAGUAUUGAACAACUGACAUCCUCAGUUGCUCCUCAUAGGUCACCAGCCUAAAUGGUUUCCCUUAUAAUCAAGGGGGGAAUCAUUCUAAAAAUGUUGUGUUAGGCUACCUGACAUACAACAAAUACAAAUCCAUGUUGAUAUUUUUAUUUUCAUGCAAACUUAACCACAAAAUGGAACCCCCAUAAUAGAACAGAAAAUCUUGUCUUACAUAAAAAUCACCACAUUACCGAUUCUACUUAAUUAUCACACCAAAAAAUAUCGUUAAAAAAUAACAUGACAGUCACUAAAUUGCACAAGGGACAGUAAACAUCGUCAAUUAUUGUUCCAGGCUUCCAGCUACUGACUGAUGCCUUUGUAGAAACCUCUAUUUUAUUUUUCCUUUAAUUUCUUGUCUAUUACAUAAAAAAUAGAACAUUCAUGACAAAUCAAAGUCUCACCAUUGUCAAACCUAUAUUAAAAAUGUGUGAUCCUUGAAAUCUACAUGACUGGCCAUGCAUGUUACAUCAUUCACCACGUAACCCUCCUCUCUAAAUUAGACAGUAACAGAUAGAGAAAACUUUCCUUCUGGUGUGGUAUUUGCUCAGGUUGGCACAAAUCAACUUGGAUAAACCCAUAUUCAAAGUACUAAAUGGACAGACAACAUGAAAAAUGCAAUAGCUCCAUAUUUAAACUUAAAAAAAGGGGAACAAUGCAACAUCUCACAAGAUGGCAUCCAUGGCUGCAUGAUGAACCUACUUAUUACUGGGUGUCUGUAGAGUCGUGGUUUAGCUCCUCUUCAAACAACUCAAAACGAUUUCAGCGAUCAUAGUUUCUUUGCAUUACAUGCAAAAGUUCAGAAAUUUAGGUGCAGUUGCAUUGACCUGAAACAAUACUUCACUAGAUAGACACCUUUCUUGCCCCCUCAAUCCCUCUCUCAGUUUUGGCUUUGCAAAUGCCUACCCUCCUUUUCCACUUUAUCUGCUGUCGCCUCGUUUGGCUAAUCGAUCAGAAUAACACUCCACCAAGAUCAGACACGCAAAAAUACAAACAUCCUACACGCAAUGAAGCUACGCGUUAAAUUGUCAGAAGCCAUCGUGGAACGCAGCGACUGUCAAAACCGCCACAGUGGAAAAAAAAAUUAAGAAAAAGAAAGAAAAAAAAAAGGAACCGCCACUGUCAAGACUGCCAAGAAAACCCCAAUCCGACAGGACCCGGGUCCCCGGCCGGCAAGCGCAAUGUCGCAAAGGCGGAUCGCAUCCGAGACUCGAUGAAAGCAAAAUUCGCCGCAUUAUACAAAGAAUAAACAAAAGGGCUGGCAAGGAACGAAGAACCGCCCCCAACCGCCGCCAAGAAAACCAAAACCCCGGUACGGAACGAAGAAAGUCUAGGUUUUAAAACAGCGGUGCCAAGUUGAGAGAGACGGCGUAUGACGGCUGACGGGCACUGUACCUCGGAGGAAGCGGCCCCGUGGCGAGGGAGUUGCGCGGUGAACAGCAACCGUCGAAUCGGAGACGACGAGGAGGAGGCCAACGGGUCGUGAAGCCGUGGGCAAUGGGAGAGACGUAGAGCCACGGGGUAACUCGAGGCUUCUUGUAGUGUAGCGCUGACUGCUCAGGACUCGUGUGUGGGCCAUGCACGCUGGAGUUAACCAAAACGAGGUGUGUUUGUAGCAUCUACAGUCAAUGACUUUCCAUCCAUAUUUUUUAGGAAAGUAAAGAAAAAUCCUUUCUAAAAGUUAACUUCCCAAUUCUUCAUCUUUUCUAACUUAGGCCUUGUUUAGUUCCAAAAAAUUUUGCAAAAUUUUUCAGAUUCUCCGUCACAUCGAAUCUUUAGACGCAUGCAUGGAGUAUUAAAUAUAGAUAAAAAUAAAAAUUAAUUGCACAGUUUGGUCGAAAUUAACGAGACGAAUCUUUUGAGACUAGUUAGUCCAUGGUUGGAUAAUUUUUGUCAAAUACAAACGAAAUUGCUACCGUGUCGAUUUUGCAAAAUUUUUUAGAACUAAACAAGGCCUUAUAUCUCUCUCUGUUUUGUACGUAAAUAUAUGCGUGCCCUCCGUGCUUGGCAUCUCUUUUUGCUCUUGCUUAGCGAGGCUCUUUAUUCGCUUAGUGAGGCUCUUUGUUUGCUUAAUGGGCCUUUUCGUUUUGUUAGCGGGUUUUUGGAUUUGUAGAAACGAAAUUUGCCAAACUAUUGGAGAUGAGAUCUUUGUUUUCCUUCUGAUAUUAUUUUGGAAGUUGACAAACAACAAGAUUUAAGAAAUGAAUUUUGCCAAAUUGUUGGAAAUACUCUAAUAACUCCACCCAAAAAAACUGCAGCACCUGUUUUAGGGCUUUUGAUUGGUUGGCUUCCAAAAUACUCCUAUAUUAAGUCAUGAUUUUUGCUAUUGUUUGGUUUUCGCUAUCAAAACUACCUUUUACAAUUGGCUUACCAAAUUCGUGGUAAUUUUUUUCCGCAACUUUUGCUUGCCAAAUCCUUGGUCUGGUAAAUUUUAGAUGCAAACCAAUUAGACCCUUAGCAAACUCCGAUUGCCUCACAAAAAUUAUAGUUUUGAGGUUUUAAAUUUAUUCUAGAAAAAAUGUUGUUGUAGGUGUAGACCCCACCACUUUAUCCUAAAUCAAUGCAACAACCCUACUUUCUCAUCUCUCCCACAUCUUUCAUUGCCCGUCCUCUUACAUCUUAUUCUCUGUCGUUGCGUAAGUGGACAAUGCGUGCCACUCUCUUCUUCUCCAAGGGCAUGGAGGCUGGUGUCGGGGCUCUUCUUCUCCACUAGUGCGGAGGUUGCCCGAGCUCCUCCUCUACCGGCACAGAAGGCUAUGCCCUUCUCUUCUCCUUCACCGAUGUGGAGGCCACGCUCGCCCUCCUCUUCUCCUCCACCAGCAUGGAUGCCACGCCUGCCCCCUCUUCUCCAUCGGUGAGGAGGCCACGCCCGCUGUUCUCCUGUCCUCCACAACACCCCUCUGUCAUCCUCUAUCGCCAAAUUCGUUGCCAGCCCCAACACUCUGCCCUUCCCUCACAUAUAUUUAGUCGAGCCAUCUAGGCUAACCCCUCAACCACAUCUUCUAUCGACGAGGGCGGGCAUAGAUUUCAGCGACACGAACACAACAGGUGUCGAUGACGUGAGCCCUGACACGGUGGGCAUGGUCGUUUGGUGCAGUGGCGGAGUGUGAACUAAAAUUAGGGGGGGGGGGAUUUGCGAAUGUGUGAGCUCAGGGAGCCAAUAUGGCAAUAUACUCAAAGAGACACCACUCGCCAUAUUUAACCAACUACAAUGCCUUCUGUGGUGCCGAGGAGUGCAACAGAGGCCAGAGAGCAAGCUCAGUAGCGCUAGCAAGCGUCGUAGUAGUGCCAAUACCAACGAUCUAGCAAAGCUCACUUAGUUCGAAAAUUAUCAUAAAGAACUAUCCGGACAAGCGAAUUAUGAUAGUGGACAUCUCAAUCUUUGUAGUAUGUACCAGCCUGAUGCACUAUAGUACUACUACUUGCAUACAGUUAAAAUGAGAAGUCAAAUCAUAAAAGGAUAAUGGAUAGAAAAGACUAGCUGCAGUCUAUUCUUGGCGAUUGGUACUACUUCGUCAACUGAAGAGAGAAGGAGAGAGAACAUAGGAGUCUGUAGCUAUUUUGACUUUCUUGUUGGUUUGUGUGCGACUCCUAGAACAGUCGUAAUCUUGGGAUGAAGAGAGUUUUUUUUUUGAAAGGCUAAGAUUUUCACUACUUUAAAUGCAUAGUACAGAUAUGGAGGGAACAAACUCAUUCAAAGUUUUAAAGUGCUAUUUGCACACAAUGGCGAGGUAAAUGCACGAUAGCUUGACAUGAGAAAAGGCAAGAACUUGUUAUAGAAGCUAGUCUUGCCUGUUUUGCUAGCCUAUCUGCAACUCCAUUGCUUUCUCUUCUAAUAUUUAUUGUGAAUGUUUCAUUCCUUGUGUGGUUUUUGCAAGUAGAGCAAGAGUAGGUCUGAUGGACCAUUGUCCUAGAUGAAAGCGUGGAGAACCAGCUUGAGCAGCUAUAGCAAGUAGUACUCAUUAUCUGUAAGAGAAUUGACAUCUUGUAGAUUCGGAGUCCUUGCUAGUAGCUUGGCACCUAGCAGCAGAGCCUGUGCUUUCGCCUCUAUAUGAUCCAUGUGCUCCUUUGUAGCAACUUGAAAGGAAAAACGGAAUUCGCCUGAGCCGUUAGAAUGAAAAUGUCAACGCCUGUUCUCUGUUGUCCAGGUGGUGUUUGCAUGCAUACUGAAGCAUAGGAAAAACUCGUUAAUUUAAUUACCAAGAGCUAGGAGUAAAAAUGGAUAUACUGCAUUUGAGUAUGCAUUUCACGAUUUAGGAUAAAAAUUUUCAAAUUUCCUCAAACACUGAUACCAGAUUGGAGAAUUCAAAUCUAAAUGUAAAUUUGGAUAUUCAACUCAGUUUUGAAAGGAAAAAGGAUCAUUUUUUAAUAUGAGAAAAACCAUAUCAUGUUAAAAUUUCAAUACAAUUGUAAACAUAACGAAUACAUUUUUUAUAUCAACUAAUGUGUUUAGUAUCGAGUUUAAUGAAUAAAAAUAUGUUUUUGAUCCACCACGUUCUUAUCUCAGUUAAACAUUUUAAAUAAAAAAUCUACUUGUUUAAAAUGAACUAAUGGGAUCUGCCUUUGAAAUAUUUUAAAUAAAAAGCAUUUACUAGUUUCAAAGGUGCACAGGAAACGCCGAGAACCAAUCGCAGGGAACGUGCACGUUCAGUUCGAGCUAGGACGGCCAAAAUUUCCUUGGCUGUGCCGAUUUUUGGUGCCAUUCCAAGCGCUGGGCAAAUUACUGGAACAGUGCACAAAUUUGGCUCAGCACUUUAGGGUAAAAAACCAAAUGAGCCCUACAUGUAAAAAACAAAAUGUACUGUAAGCUGUCACAUCACAACGAAUAUAUGAAAGGAGAGGGUAAUAAAAACACGUCAGCACCGUUCUUAACUCUAUAUGUCGAGGGGUUCACUCGAGAAAAAUUAUAUUCCCUCGCUUUUAAAUUCUAAGUUCUUUUAUAUAUAGAUAUGAUAUACUUAGAUGUAUAUUAUAAUAUAGUCUAUGGAAGUGAUUCGUUCGUUACCCAUACAUGCCAAAGGAUGCCAAGCUAAAAUUUGCAUUGGGUAAUUUGACUAAAAUUGGUCUUCAUUUGGUUGCGCGUCAAAUUUUGGCUUGUUGUUUGGCAAAAUUCGUUUUUCAAAUCUUGUUGUUUAUUAACUUCCAAAAUAAUAUGGGGAGGAAAAAAAGAUAUCAUCUCGAACAGUUUGGCAAAUUUUGUUUUCAAAAACCCAAAAACCAAACAAAGAGCCCCGCUAAACAUGAGGAGAAAGAUCGAUGCCAACCACGGAGCCCGCGCGUAACAGGAGAUAUGCCAAGUUGGAAAAGAUGGGAAAUUGAGAUGCGAAACUGCUGGAGAGGAUUUUUUCUCAUUUUGCUAAAAAAAUUGUGGAUGAAAAGUCAUUAUUUUGCUAAAAAAAUUAUGGAUGGGAUCAUCCAUAAUUUUUUUAGCAAAUGAGAAAAUACUCUCUCCAGCAGUUUGGCAUCCCAAUUCUUCAUCUUUUUCAACUUGCACAUCUCCCCGAGGCUCUUCAUUCGUUUAGCGAGGCUUCUUAUUUCGUUAGCGGGUUUUUAGAAAUGAAAUUUAUCAAACUGUUGGAGAUAAGAUUUUUUUUCUUUCCCAUAUUAUUUGGGAGUUGGUAAACAACGAGAUUUGGGAAACGAAAUUUACGAAACAGUUGAAGAUGUUCUUAGCUCUUCCAUUUGGCCAAUUUGAUGGCCAAAACAAUCAAGGCACUGGUUACUAUCAUUAACUAGCAAACUGGGGGAUGUAUUGUGAGGCCUAGCAGGGCGAACAAAGAAAAUGGGGAUGAUAUCAGGAGAGUAACCCUAAAUUAUAUACUCCAUUAGUUCCAAAUUAUAAGUUGCUUUGACUUUUUAAUAUAUCUAUUUUGCUAUGCAUCUAGAUAAAUAAUAUGUCUAGAUAUAUAGCAAAACGGAUAAACUAAAAAAAAUCAAAACAACUUAUAAUUUGGAAAGAGUAGAUGUCACUAGAGACUAAUAUGGAGAGAGCAAGCAAAUAAAACACUCUUUCAGAACUAUAGUUUUAUUCGUAACUUUUUAUAAACUUAAAACUUUACAGAGUGUGGCCAGGAUGGUGAUAGUAAUGCUCACAAUACGGUAUGGGACAUUCAUCCUGAUUAACUAAUAUCUGAAGCCACUCACAUCUCUGAAGUAAACCAGUAAUUGUAAGUACUCCACUGGGACUUUGUCAAACCCACACAAUCCUGGUUUUAGCACUUGCAUUAGUAUCAGCAUUAACCUUUCGGAAUCAAGCAGUUAAACAUAAAGAUAUAGAAGUUUAGUUUCAUUUGAGUUUUGAAAAAGAGAACUAUCAGCAUUAACCUUUCGGAAUCAAGCAGUUAAACAUAAAGAUAUAGAAGUUUAGUUUCAUUUGAGUUUUGAAAAAGAGAACCAGGAUUAUUACAAUCAUAUACAAGUCAUGUCAGUGAUCUCUCUCAAAAACCAUUUCGUGAUUCUUGAAGGGGUGUAAGGCCAAGUACAAGCAGUAACCUUUGCAUAAAUGUAUGUCUCCAUGAAUAGAUGGACUGAUACACAAGCAUAAGCCUAUCCAGUAUAAACCACAAGUUCAAAAGAUAAAAACAGAACGUUAACAGGUCAUGAAGCAGCUCAAACUUGUGACCUGUGACUCACAAUAUAUGAAUAAGUUCAACUUCCACCGGAACCAAGAAUCCGACUUUUCCAAAGAUGGCAAUAAUAUAAACUCAGAUGUAAACACUAAAUAUCCAAAACACUAUGAUGUAGGCUUAACGAACUUAGAGCAUACACCAUGACAAUGACAUAUAAACAACUAAUAGCACAACCCGCAACGGUUCAAACAGGACAUUGAGAUGAUCGUAGAGAAUAGUAUGUCAUUGUAGAAUCUUGUGUCAUCACAGGUCACUUUGCUCAAAUCAGGACAGGAGCGCUCAUCAGGGGACGAAAGGCGUCAGUCGUAGUCCUCCCAGUAGUUACCAUAAGAACCAUCACUCAUCCCCCCCUCAGCGUACAACAUAUCUUCAUCUUUUGAUGAAAGGUAGGGCAUAGUGAGCCUUGUAGUCUUCACCCUCUUUCUCUCCAAUGACAUGAAGGUCGGGGCAGCAAACCUUAUUCUGCUGUUUGUGAAACAAGACAUGUUUGAGGUUAGAGCAUCGAGCUCGGAGUUCACCAUUGACAUGGAGAUUGGAGUAAUCAGAGAUGUCAAGGCAUUCGAGAUGGGGGCAGCCCUUGAGAAUGGCAUAGAGCCCUUUGUUGGUCAGGCUGUUGCCUGCCAACUGAAGAAGCCGAAGCUCAGGCAAGCUCUCUGCAAUGGCAAAGGCAACCUCAUUUAUCCUCGCUUCCCAAGCUUCGGCAGUUUCCUCCUCUGAUUCCUCGUCUUCAUCUAGCUCACCAUUUUGCCGGCGACAUUCCAUCUUCAUCUCACGCCAGAUCUCAUCAGAAUCAUACCACUCCUCAAUAUUGAUUCUUAGACGCUUCAACUGGGGGCACACAAUGCCUAGAUUCCUGAAAAAACCUUCUGGCAUUAUUUGAUAUGAACAUUCUAUCUCCUCCAGAAGCGGACAUUUAUCUACCAUCAUAACCAAUGGCAUAUGCCAAAAGUAUGCGCAUGAGACAAGCCGAAUGCUCUUCAAAUAAUUGGCCCUGCAGAUAUUAUAGGGACAAAAACGGACAAGAAAUCAAAUCAAAUGAGCAAUAUACGAAGUAUCAACAAAGUUAGCAAAAUUAUAUCAGGGCAUGAUUACGUGAAAAAAAAACUUGACAUUGAGUACUGUCAAUCCGGUUAUAAAAAUAUAGCAUUGGUUGACCCAGAGUCCAUAUAGGCAUUUUUUUCCCAAAAUCAAGUCCAUAUAGGCAUUGGUGGGAAUAAAUAUGCAAUUUAUGUUUGUGGGUCAGACAAGUGUUUAAUUGGUGGCUGCACUGGACAAUUACAAAAUUCAUAAAAGAAACCGGAAAUAUAAUUAUGGCUGAAGUGACAUCGGGUUACUAAUGGGACAGAUCCAUAGGCAUCAUGUGUAUGCCUAACAGGGGUGUUAUUAGUGGUCAAAAGCAGCUACUGCUUAGUGGGGUUAAAUAAUUGUUGUACUACUGCAUAAAUAAAUCCAGAAAUGAAGCAUAGUUAAAGUUCCUAAAGCCCCAAAACUUGUCCUAAUUGUUUUCCCUUUUCCUCGUCUAAUAAAAAUAUGGCAAAGCUCUUGCCACAUUUCUAAAAAAAAAAAAUCUGUUCUAAUAAGAAAUUAAGAACUGAAAUUUAGCAUGGCAAGAAAAUACCUGUUUCCAAUGUAAUCCAAGAGUUCGUCGGUAACAAAUUGUUGAGCCCAGAAUGACUCCAUCCUUCCAUCUGAGCGAUCUAUGGCUACUCUUGCCAUGGCACACAAGAUACUUGUGCUCUUCGAGAAAACUAACUUAUGGCGAGUCAUGUCCACAAAACGCCAAAUUUCUGGUGCCUUUGCAGCUGCCAGCCAUGAGCGGCACACAAGGCCUGCACCCAUGAGGACCUCAAUGGCCCCAAGCUUCAUGAAGAUUGAGGAGAGAGGGUCGAGUGGGAGCUCAGACCAAUCCCUCACAGGUGACUCCAGCAAGGGGCUUGGGUCCACAUCCAUUGUGCAAACUGGUACCUAAGACUGGAGUCAGUGAAAAAAAUUACAAGCUGUAAGUUGUAACUACUAAGGGGUGGUUAGAGAUGUUAAAGUUUAACAGGUAAUGUAGCAUUUUCAUUUUAUUUGACAAUUAGUAGCCAAUCAUGGACUAAUCAGGCUUAAAGAUUCGUCUAGCAAAUUAGUGUUUAGCUGUGUUUUUAGUUUCAUAAAUAAUCUAUAUUUAGUAUACUAUAAAUGUGUCCAAAUAUUCGAUGUAAUAGGUGAUAAAAAAAAAUCAGCCUCAACCAAACAAGGCCUAAAAUAGCGUGAGCACUGUAGAAAGUAAAAAAAAACACACACACCAUUAUAGGAUGAAUUAGGCGGUUUUUCAUUAAUUAAGAAGAAAAUAUGCACAUACAUUCGAGUCUAAGAGAACUCAAACUUGGAUGGUUAGGAUGCAUGACCACGCCUCCCAUCUCAAUAGAUCGAUUGUACAUUUGUACCACAAGAGACAGUUGGAUAAAACCCUAGGUCGAUAUGUGGAAAGUCGAAACCACCAAAAAAUAACACUGUGUUUGCAAGAUAGUAGCUUAUUCCAUCUAGCAUUUAUAAGCUAUUUCACAAAACCAGAUCAUAGAAACCAAAAAGGAAAACCUACGGGCAUCAGACGACUUAGAUUGAAAGUGUAGAUUAAAUUAUGAUGCUAUAUCUUGUACUAAAUAAAAACUGUUAGGAACAUGUCUGAUGGGUGAUGGCUGCUGCAGAGAAAAGAAGAGGGGAACGAUUGACAAGUCAGGAAUGAAGGCCGGUAAAGUUCUUAACAAACUAGGAUCAUCCUAAGAAGAGGACAUUGUGUCGACCACUUGUUUCAAGAAACUGAGAACAACAUCCCCUUCUCGGCUCCUCCUAGAACUCAGGCAACAAGACAACAACGACGAUGAACUGAACUACUAGACCAUCUACCCGAUCGAUGACAAAGAAAUAAUAAAAUGAAAAAAGAAAUGCAAAAAUCGUCUUGUCAAAUCCGUCCAUCGGCCAGAAAUUUCAACAUUUUCCCAUCCCAACAAAACGUGGCCCUAAUUAAGGUGAGGGAAGUUCAGAUCCUGGGGACCGAACGAAGAAAAACCACAACUAGCCACGGGAGAUCAUUUAGUUCGUUACCUUCGCCUCCGGCGGCGGUGGGUGAGGUUCCUGAGCAACUUCGCCGGACGAGGGCUCACAGCCGCACUUAAAUGGAGACCAAGAGGGAGACGGUUCCUAGUCGAUUUGCUUCUGUUUUUUUUUUUUCCUUCAAAAGAAAAAGUCGAUUUGCUUCUGUUGGGGGUGGAUCGAGUAUUCUAUGGGCCGACAGGCCCAGAAUGCGGUUGGGCCCGGUUUGUGUUUCUGCUGUAUAUGUACAAACAAUGCUUGAAAGCAGGUAAACCCCAUUUGUCUUCAUAAUAUCCAGAAAAAAAGUGCAUCAUGAAAACAAAGUUAAUCCUUUGUCAAAGACAGAGACCUAUACCAGCUUGUCACUAGCACAACUGCACAACCCACAGGCUCAGUGUUACCUUGGAUGCACUGAUGCACCGAUCUAAAUGGCUGUACGGGGAACUGGAGCAAGAGUAAAUUACAGACGAGGUUUGUCAUUUCGCACAAGUACAGAGAGCCACUUUAUGUAGUUUUACUCUUGACUAAUUAACACAUGCAAUGAAUUAGUAACCACAAAGACAGAAAUCCAUUUCCUAAUAAGGAGGAAUCCCAAAAGAAAUACAACAAAAAAUUGAGCAACAAAGUUCGGCAUUUUGUAACAGGUUCAAGGAAUUGCGACUAGAAAAGCUUUUCAAUUUCGCUUCAGUUAAAAUUCAAUUAUUAUUAACACACAAAAGACAAAAAAAAAGGGGGGGGGGGG